GGUAAUUUACUCCCAGCUAUAACACAUGUAAAUUUGAGUCAUCAACUUUAACCACUGACUCUGUCUGUGGAUGCUAUGUAUCGUGAGGGAAACAGGUGGUAGAAAAGGAUUUAGCCUGCUCACUUGGAAGGUGGAGAAAUACGUGAAAGAUAAGGCCAAUCCUUUCAUUGUACUGUCCUAUUACAGUCAUGAUGGAGAAGAAGGAUUCCCUGGAAAUCUCCUGGUUAGAGUGACCUAUGCUCUACUUGAACCAUACAAACUGAGCGUAAUAAUGGAAGCGGAAGCCCUGAACAAGGCUACUCCUGUGAAUCUAGCACAACACAGUUACUGGAAUCUUGGAGGCCAUAACAGUGGUGAUGUCCUCUCGGAUACAGUCCAAAUAUUCGGCUUACACUACACGCCUGCGAACAACCAGCUCAUCCCGACUGGAGAAAUCUUACCUGUUAAAGGAACCCCGUACGAUUUCUUGAAGCCCCACAAAAUUCAAAGCCAGAUGAAAGGACUUCCGAGGGGCGGAGCUCCAUCUGGUUAUAAUGUGAAUUAUGCCCUUGAUGAAGGCAAGGACCAAAAGCUGAAGCUCGCAGCAAUUGCGUACAGUAAGAAGACUGGUAUUGGGAUGAGGAUAUCAACAAGUGCUCCAGGUCUGCAGUUUUACACGGCUAAUUACUUGAACAAUGUGACAGGAAAAGGUGGAUAUGUUUAUCAGUCACAUGCAGCAUACUGUUUUGAGACUCAAGGAUUCCCUGAUGCAGUGAACCAUCCAAAUUUUCCCUCAACAAUCGUUAAUCCAGGAGAUCUUUAUGUGCACUACAUGUUGGUUGAAUUCAAAAUCAAACAAAAAUAAGAGCUCGACUAAUGUACACUGCACCCGAAGAGCAAUUGAAGCUGCCCUGAUUUGAAUCAGCAAAUAAAUGAGACACAUUUUCAUGUUAAACACUGCUCUGUUACUUUAACCAUUACCUAACCUGUCGAUGGAUUCUAUCAAACAUAUAAUAUUUAGAUAUCUGCAUUCAUUCAGCAUACCUUAGAAUUAAACAGAUGCUAUUAGCAAUUUAGGAAUUCCAAUGGCUCCUCAAGAGGAAUUAGGAUAUAUGGAAGAAUCUCUAAUUUCACAGAGUAUUGAAAGGAUUGGAAAGAAGGAAUAGUAGUUCCAAUAGACUAGCGGCCUGAUAAAUCCAUGGAGUCCAUCCAAUGGGCAUUUGCACAGACCUUUCAGUGAAAAGGCCUUCAUUUUCCACUUUCUAGCAUACUAUUGUGAUGUUCUGGAUUCUGGGUCUACCAACAUUCCUUUAAUGAAACUGUCCAAUGUGUCUUUAGGAUUCUUUAUUACAGUAGUUGCCAUAGUUUUCCUUAGUAAUUUUAUCAUUUUCCUAUUCUCUAGUUGCUUCAUGUAUUGUUUUUUACUCUUAAAGCGGCUUCAUCUGGCUUGGAAAUUCAGAGCAGUUUAGUGGAUCAUGUUGUCUCGGAUAUUUCCGCGGAGGAACUUGCCAUUUCACAAAAAAUGUAGUGCCAAAAAGUCCCUCGAAGGAUGUCAGGAAUAGGGACUCAAUUGCAAUUGGACUAGAAGUUGGAGGGGCAUUAGUGUAAAUUGGUGUUGGAGCCAAAAUUGUUAAAAGUUAGUUAUAACCGUCUGCUGAAGGAGUUAGUUAGUCAUUUCCAUUUCUGUACAAGCAAGAUUCUGAUUCAUCAUUGGGGGGGGGGGGUAGGGUAUAAAUCGAAGCCAGUGUAAUGGAUUUGGACACGAAAAAUAUUACCAUUGAUUCCUUCCCAAUUCUUUCUCUCUCUUUCUCCCUCUUUCUCUCUGCCUCUCUUCUCUGCCUUUCCCUCUCAUUUCUUCUUCUUGUUCAUUCAAACCUUUCCCACGCCUGCUGGUCUCAACCUUUCCUUCAUCCUAUUGCUGAGAGCCUGACAAAUUGGUAUCAGAGUUGACCGAUCCUUGGCUAGCUCCUGAAAUCCAAAUGGCAGAAAGUACUCGAUUCAAAACACUGGAGGAUCAUCUCAAGAAGCAAGAACAGAAGCUGCAGGAACUAAUAGAUGAUGUCAGAAGUAUUCAGUAGCAAGUGAAAAAGGAAAUGAUAGGAAGAGAUCAACGUAUGGAUUCGAUUGUGAUUGGAAUGGAGCAGAAGUUCGAAGCACUCAGUUCGAUGAUGCAGACACUGCUGAUCAAGGAAAAGAGUACAGGUGAUGAGGCUAAGAUGGGGAGAGAUCGAACACCAUUACUGCCAACACCACCUAGUCAUCAGAGAUUAGAUCUGGAAGCAGAUACUGAGGCAAAGGAUUGUGAAUUUUUGGGAAAGAUCUCUGGCCACUCCCUUCCUAAGCUUGAAUUGCACAUGUUCAGUGGAGAGAAUCCAUGUGAGUGGAUCAGGAAAUGCAACAAAUAUUUCAUGUUGCAUAGAAUCCAGGAAGACCAUAAGCUACUGGUAGUGGAGAUGUUUUUGGAAGGGAAGGUUGAUAUGUGGUUUCAGGGAGUCAAGUUGGAGAAACAGCGGUUGUCAUGGAGAGAAUUUGAGGAAUUGCUUUGUCAGAGGUUCAAGGGGACCUGUUGUAGGGAUAUUGUGGAGGAAUUCAACAAAUUGCAGCAGACUAGUACAGUGGAGGCCUAUCAGGAGAAGUUUGAAGAACUGAAGACACUGAUGCUGAUCCAAAAUCCCAACCUGAGUGAAGAAUACUUCAUUUCCAGCUUUACCAGUGGCCUUAGGGAAGAAAUUAAACCUAUGGUGCGAAUGCUCAGGCCAAACACCCUCUCUGGAGUUGUAGAGAUAGCCCAUCUGCAAGAGCAAGCCCUUAAAUUGCAAGGGAGGACAGUGAAGGCGGGUAACAAGGUAAUGGCUGAACCAAGGUAUGGAAUUUACAGACAUCCUACAGCUAUGAAUGGUGGAGUCAGCACUUAUAAAUUACCUCAGACCAACGCACCAAAACUAGAGACUAAGAAACCUGAAUUUAAGAGGUUAUCCCCACAAGAAGUGCAGUAUAGAAGGAACAAUGGCUUGUGCUUUAAGUGUGGAGAAAAGUUUGGAGUUGGACAUCAAUGUAGGAUGAAGCACUUGAAUUUCAUGUUGUAUGAGGAAGAGGAGGAUACAGAAUUCCAAGAUGUGUUAGGGGAACAGGAUGAAUUGACUGGAAAUCCAGGGAAAUCAGUAGAGGUAUCUCUCAAUGCACUCUCAGAUUCUCUCAGGCGAAACACAAUCCUGUUGCAAGGGCAAUUAGCAGGGAGAAAUGUAAAAAUCUUGGUAGAUACUGGGAGCAGUGAUAGUUACAUCCACCACAAACUUGUAUCUGCACUAAAAAUUUCGCUUGAGCAUGUUAAACCAUUCACAGUCACCAUGGGAGAUGGGAGUUUGGUGACCAGUGGGGCUCAGUGCCCACAAGUCUUAUGGAAUAUCCAGAAUUAUAGGUUCAGUUUUGACCUCAUGAUUAUGGAAUUGGGGAACUGGGAUCUCAUCGUAGGGGUAGACUGGAUGUGUGUUGUGACUGUCCUGACUAGGAACGAAGGGGGAGAUACAGAAGGAAAAAGGGGAAAGAGAGACUUGGGAGAGAAGAUAGAGAAUACAGAGGAGAAAAGGAAUUGAAUUUGGUUGUAUCUUAUUGCCUGCCUUGCAUCUCACCCUUAGGUGUAUUUAUACAGGUUCCAUUCUUUAGAUCCUUCCGUAGCUAUAACAGAAUGCUCAACAGAAAAGAUCCUGCAUACCUGUAUGCCAUGCAGUAACGAUUCAACUAACUCAUCUGAUAUGCCAACUAACUUCUAAAAAAGGAAAUCAUGCCCUCUACAUUCUCUGCUGCAAAUAUCUAGGGAAAUAUCUAACUAUCUAGAGAAAAUAUCUAGGAUCAUUACAAUACCUCCCCCUCAAGAAUCCUAGUCACUAGGAUUGAGUUGGAAAUCUGGAAACUGUGAUCGUAUCACAGUGAUAUCCUCCCAAGUUGCAUCUUCAGCGCCUAGGUUCAACCACUUGAUCAGCACCUGAGUCACCUUCUGCCUCUUUCGUAUGAUAUCAUGAGUAGCGAUAACACUCUCAGGGGCAAUUUUAAUCUGUCCAUCUGUGGUAGUUAAGGGCAGCUCCUGAGUCACCGCAUGAUCUUUGGCUGAGGCCUUGAGCAGGGAGACAUGGAAGGUAGGGUGGAUCAAGGAACCAGCAGGUAACUCCAACCUAUAAGCCAUAUUACCUACCCUCUGAAGAAUCUUGUAAGGGCCAUAAUAUUUGGGAGAUAAUUUCAGAUUCUUUCUGACUGCCACAGACGUUUGUCUAUAAGGUUGCAGCUUCAAGUAGACACAAUCUCCAACUUGGAAACUUCUUUCACUCCUGUUUUUGUCAGCAAACUGCUUCAUUCGAUUCUGAGCUUUGAUUAAAUUUUCCUUCAGCAGCUCAUUCCAAUUCCUCCUGUCCCCUAGCCAUUGCUCCACUGCAGCCACUGGGGUCUCCAAGGCAUUGAUACCCAACUGAGAUGGUGGAUAAUCAUAUAGUGCUUGGAAGGGAGUCAUUUUUAAGGCUGUGUGAUGGUUGGUAUUGUACCACCAUUCUGCAGCAGCUAACAAGGACUUCCAUUUGUGAGGUUGCUGGAAACACAAGCACCUCACGUAUGUCUCCACACACCUGUUCAAUCUUUCUGUCUGCCCAUCUGUCUGGGGAUGGUAGGUAGUAGAGUAAUGCAGCUCAGUGCCUAGUUUCCCAAACAACUCCUGCUAGAAUAGGCUAGUAAACAGCCUAUCCCUAUUAGAUACAAUGCUUAGUGGCAAUCCAUGCAACUUAUAGAUGUUAUCAAAAUAUAUGUUAGCCACAGACUGUGCUGUAUACUUGGGUGGUAGUGCUAGGAGGUGGCAAUACUUAGUAAACCUGUCGAUGACAACUAGCAUUCCUUCAUAUCCUUGGAAUUUAGGUAACCCUUCAAUGAAAUUCAUUGAGAUGUGCUGCCAUGCUUGUUCAGGAAUAGGUAGAGGCUGUAGCAAUCCUGGUGUCUUGCAAUUUUCUACCUUGCUCCUCUUAUAAACAUCACACUGCUGUACCCAUUUUUCUACUUCUCUCUUCAUUCCUGGCCAGAAGAAGGGACCCUUCAAUCUUUGAUAGGUUCCCAGGUUGCCUGAGUGACCCCCAAUAUGAGAGUCAUAAAAGCAGGAUAUCAGUUUCUGUCUCAAGUUUCCUGAGAAACUAACGUACACCCUGCCCUUAUACCUGAGUAAUUUCCCCAGUAAAAGACUAAUUUGGAAAGGAAUCAGGUGUUGUAGUCAGGCCUCCAGUCAACUUAGUCACAUUAUCAUCCCCGUUGUAACUCUCCAGGACCUCAGACAGCUAUGCAGGUUUCAUGACUGAGAUGCUGUGUAUAGAAAUGUCCUCUUCAUAGCCUCUUCUGGAUAGUGCAUCAGCUACCAAGUUCUCAUUUCCCUUCUUAUACUGUAUUUCGUAAUCCAGCCCUAACAACUUAGUGAGCCAUUUUUGCUGUAGGGGAGUGGUUAUCUUCUGCUCUAGUAGGUACUUUAAGCUCUAGUGAUCUGUCUUUAUGAUGAAAUGGCUUCCUAACAGGUAAUGUCUCCACUUGGAAACAGCUAUAAUAAGGGACAACAACUCCUUCUUGUAUAUGGACAGUCCCAGGUUCUUAGGUCCCAGAGCUUGACUGAGAUAGGCAAUAGGCCUUCCCUGCUGCAUUACGACUGCACCAAUUGCCUUACGACUAGCAUCUGUUUCCAGAACAAAAGGUAAAGAAAAAUUAGGAAGUGUUAGGACUGGUGUACUGCUCAUUAGCUGCUUCAGUUUUUGAAAAGCUAGCUCAGCCUGUUCAUUCCAGUGGAAGUUUUCCUUCUUCAAUAGUUCAGUAAGUGGCUUGGCAAUAAGUCCAUAUCCCCUCACAAACCUCCUGUAGUACCCCGUCAGUCCUAAAAAACCUCUCAAUGCUUUCACUGAUAUAGGGGUAGGCCAAUCCAUCAUGCUUUUGAUUUUUGAGGGAUCUGCCUGCACUCCAUCUCCACUGAUAACAUGUCCCAAAUAUUCUACUUGAGACUGUUCAAAGAUGCAUUUGGAAAGCUUGGCAAAAAGAGAGUGAGCUUUGAGUGUUUCUAGGACAGUUUUGAGGUGCAAAAGAUGAGUGUCUGGAUCUAGGCUGUAUACAAGGAUGUCAUCAAAGAAUACUAACACAAACUUCCUCAGGUAAGGUUCAAAGACAUGGUUCAUCAGGUUUUGAAAGGUUACGGGUACAUUAGUAAGACCAAAGGGCAUAACAGUGAACUCAUACAAUCCAAGGUGAGUUUUGAAAGCCGUUUUUGGAAUGUCAGCAGGGAACAUUCUGAUCUGAUGGUAUCCAGCUCUUAGAUCUAUUUUAGAAAAGAGCUUGGCUCCAUACAAUUCAUCAAGUAAAUCAUCAAUGAUAGGUAUUGGAAAUUUAUCCUUGAUAGUCAAGUCAUUUAGUUGUCUGUAAUCAACACAAAAUCUCCAAAUUCCAUCUUUUUUUUAACUAAUAGAACUGGAGAGGCAAACGGGCUAUGGCUAAGAUGGAUAAUACCACUAUUGAGCAUGUCCCUUACUUGUCUUUCUAUUUCAUUUUUUUGGUUGUGAGGGUACCUAUAAGGUGCUAUCUUGAAAGGUUUGGCAUUAGGUACUAGGGGAAUUUGAUGGUCAUAGUUUCUGGAAGGGGGAAGGGACUGUGGUUCUCCAAAUACGACUUUGUAGUCUUCAAGUAGAGUACCUAGGGAUUGUUGAAAAUUAGUGUCCAGCUAAGUGACAGUGUUUACCUGAGUCUCAUUCAUUCUCAGUCCACAUGCAUGCUUCCAAAUUCUGGUACUCCAUCCCUUCUUCUCAGCCUUAUCACUAGGAAGUUUGAGAACAGUCUCCUUAGAUUCUCCAUGCAAAAGAAUCCUCUCCCCUUUCUCAUCAAAGGACAUGUUCGGCUGCUUGAAGUCAAAGGUGAUGGGGCUGUGUGCAGCCAUCCAGUCUACCCCUAUGAUCACAUCAUACGGCUCCAGGUUAAUGACAAAUAUAUCAUGAGUGAACUGUUUACCUUGCAUUUUCCAGCUCAUGUUUGGAAUCAUCUUGUCGCAGGUCAAGUACUCCCCAUUGGCCACCCUGACCCUGAAAGGCUUGAUAGACUAGACCAGCUCUGGGUGGAGUUGUGCCACAGAAUCUUUGACAAAACUAUGAGUGCUUCCUCCAUCGACCAGGAUUGAUAGUGGAGUUCCUUUGAACCUCCCUUGCAGCUUGAUGGUGUUGUAAGUCAUUUUCCCAGUUAAUGCAUGUAUCUCCAUUUCUACACCCUUGGCCGAUUGUGCUCCUUUAUACUCGAUCAUCUCCCCUUCCACCAAAUCAUCAGGACUGUCUUCUAUUGCUACAUUCAGAUGGAUUUCAUUCUGCUUACAUUGGUAGCCUGGACCAAACUUCUCCCCACACUUAUAGCAAAGAUGGUGCUCUCUCCUGUACUGCAGCUCUGCUGGUGUGAUUUUCCUGAAGUUUUGAGGAUUCUGUUUCUUGAUAGCAUUGGCAAUAGCAGGCUUGGUAUGAGGCGCGGUAUACUGAGCAACAGUCUAUGUAGUACUCCCUGAAAAAAGGGAUUUUUGGAGAGGUUUGUGCUUCUUGUGGUAAGCUUCAAAGGCAUUCUUUUGCAAUCUGGCCAGCUCAAAUGCUUUGGAUAAAGUCUUAGGGUCGUGAGUCUUCACCAUUGAUCUUAGCUCAUCUGGUAGUCCACUUAAAAAACAUGAAAUGUAAUAAUUUUCUGGAAGGAGAGGUGCUCGACUCAUUACCUCAGAGAGUAGCUCCUCAAAUUUUUCCUGGUAAGCUAGGACUGUGGUGGAGAGCUGCAAUUUAUUGAAUUCCUCCACUGGAUCCAUUUGCCCCAAUGUUCCAAAAUGCUUGCACAAUUCUCCCGAAAACUCCAUCCAAUCCACCUUGUUACCUCUAGUAGACUUGAAGCCUUGAUACCACACCUCUGCUUUACCUUCUAAAUGGAAUUCUGUUAGCUCCAUCCACUGCUCUGAUGGAAUGUGUAGAAACUGGAAAUACCUCUGAAGUUUUCUAAUCCAUUCUCUGGGAUUGUCUCCUUUGAACGCUGGAAUUUCCAAUUUAGGUGCGCUAGCAUGGAAGGUACUCUUGACAUUCCUCUCUCCUUGCUCUCGAGUCCCCAUGUCUGAGCUCCUGGAGUGACUUCCCUCUGGAGAGCCCAAUAUUCCUUUCUCAGAAUUCCCUCGAUUCACACUGGAGAGCUGCUGAGAAAUGGCCACCAUGAAUGCAUCUAAUUUAUUGCUCAGCUCCACGCUUAUUGCAUCCAACCUAUCUUCCAUAAUUUGUUUGUCUGUUGCAUUGGAUUCCAGAAUUCCUUGGAGUCUGCUGUCUUGCCUGCGUAGCUGUUCUUCCAUGGUCUUCAUUCGAGUUCCAUCUGCCAUUGAGUUAUAGUGAUUUCAGCUUCCUAGUCCAAGGACCGAAAGCUCUGAUACCACUGUUGUGACUGUCCUGACAAGGAACGAAGGUGGAGAUACAGAAGGAAAAAGGGGAAAGAGAGACUUGGGAGAGAAGAUAGAGAAUACAGAGGAGAAAAGGAAUUGAAUUUGGUUGUAUCUUAUUGCUUGCCUUGUAUCUCACCCUUAGGCGUAUUUAUACAGGUUCCAUUCUCUAGAUCCUUCCGUAGCUAUAACAGAAUGCUCAACAGAAAAGAUCCUGCAUGCCUGCAUGCUAUGGAGUAACGAACUAACUAACUCAUUUGAUAUGCCAACUAACUUCUAAAAAAGGAAAUCAUGCCCUCUACAUUCUCUGCUGCAAAUAUCUAGGGAAAUAUCUAACUAUCUAGAGAAAAUAUCUAGGAUCAUUACAAUGUGUAACUAUAGCCCUAUCACUUUUGACUUUCACCAGCUUAAAAUAUCCAUGUGCCACUAGGGAGAGGUUGUCACCUUGCAUGGGGCAGUGAGUGAUGCAACAAUGGAGUUGGUUAGGAGGAAGGACCUCAGAGGAUUUUUGCAAGCCAAGAGGAGGUGUUGUGCUACUUCUGCACAGAUAGGCAAUGUAACUGUAAAAGGAAUACCAGGGUCAAUCACAGCACUAUUGGACAAGUUUCCAGAGGUUUUCCAAGAGCCUACUCAACUACCACCAAACAGGAGUUUGGAUCACCAGAUUCCUGUCCAACCUGGAGCACAGGCAAUCAAAAUGAAACCUUAUAGGUAUCCCCACUCGCAGAAAACAGAAAUUGAGAGACAGAUAGCUGAUAUGUUGAGUUCUGGAAUCAUUAAGCCAAGUAACAGCCCUUAUGCCUCCCCAGUACUACUAGUCAAGAAGAAGGAUAACACUUGGCGUUUCUGCGUGGACUAUAGACACUUAAAUGACUAGACCAUCAAAGACAGAUACCUUAUACCCAACAUUGAGGAACUCUUGGAUGAACUGCAUGGGACCAGAUUCUUUUCAAAAAUUGAUCUCAGGUCAGGAUACCAUCAGAUUAGAGUGAAAUUGGAGGACACACACAAGACUGUCUUUCAAACUCACCAAGGCCAUUAUGAAUUCUUAGUAAUGCCUUUCGGAUUAACAAAUGCACCUGCAACAUUUCAAGCCCUGAUGAACCAGGUGUUUGAGCCUUUUCUGAGGAAGUUUGUCUUGGUGUUCUUUGAUGACAUACUGAUCUAUAGCACUAGUUUGGAACUCCAUCAGGAACACCUGCAACAGGUGUUGGAAGUGCUCAGGAAUCACCAACUAUAUGCCAAGCUCUCUAAGUGUUCCUUUGCUCAGCAAGAGGUAGAGUAUCUGGGUUAUGUGGUCUCUAAUAGAAGGGUACAUAUGGACAUAAACAAGGUGGAUUGUAUUUUGUCCUGGCCUUCCCCUAAGUCUGUGAAAGAACUUAGAGGAUUUUUGGGACUCACAGGGUACUACAGACGUUUUAUUAAGGGAUAUGGAGCAAUCAGCAAACCCCUAACCAAUUUACUCAAGAAGGAUGCCUACAAUUGGAGCACAGAGGCACAAGAGGCCUUUAACCAGCUUAAGAAAGCCAUCAGUAGUGCACCGGUGCUAAGGCUCCCUAACUUUGACAUUCCUUUUGUAGUGAAAACUGAUGCCAGUGGUCAGGGCAUGGGAGCUGUACUACUGCAGGAAGGACAUCCCAUAGCUUUUGUCAGUAAAGCAUUUUCUCUUAAGAAUAUGGGAUUGUCUGUUUAUGAGAAAGAACUAAUGGCAUUGGUUUUGCAGUCACCAAGUGGAAACACUAUCUGGUAGGGAACCACUUCAUUAUCAAGACAGAUCAUAAGUCACUUAAGUUUUUGUUAGAACGGAGAUUAACUACCACUGCACAGUACAAAUGGCUAACCAAGUUGCUGGGCUUGGUUUAUGAGAUUCAAUAUAAGAAGGGCUCUGAGAACACAGUUGCUGAUGUAUUGUCUAGAAGAGUUACCCCUGACUACUUGUCUGAGCAGCAACAACUCAUGGCAAUAACCACAGCUCAGCCUGUAUGGAUGCAAGAACUGUAGGAUAGUUACUUUGCAGACCAACAGUGCCAGAACCUACUGAGUCAGCUACUACUGGACCUUGAACCACAGAAUUCUGAUUUCAGACUCAACCAGGGGGUACUCAAGUAUAAAAGGAGGUUGUAUGUGGGAGAUAGUCAGGAGAUUAAACAGAAGAUAAUCAAAACCAUGCAUGAGUCCCCUAUUAGAGGUCAUUCUGGCCAAAGAGCCUGUGCUCAAAGACUGCAGAGCAUGUUUUAUUGGCUCGGGAUGAAGAGGGACAUUAUUUAUUUUGUGCAGGGAUGUGAGGUGUGCCAGAGGAACAAGAGUGAGCAUGUGCCUUAUCCUGGGCUGUUGCAGCCUCUUCCUAUACCAACUUAGGCUUGGUCACACAUCACCAUGGAUUUCAUAGAGAAGUUACCUAGUUCCAAAGGCUUUGAUACCAUUUUGGUGGUCAUAGACAGACUGACAAAAUUUGGUCACGUUAUAGCCCUUUCACAUCCCUUCUUAGCAGCACAAGUGGCUCAAGUUUUCUUGGACCAUAUCUAUAAGCUACACGGUCUGCCUGAAUCUAUUGUAACAGAUAGAGACAGAAUUUUUACUAGUAAAUUCUGGCAAGAGCUGUUCAAGUUGGCUGGAACUGAGCUACACUAUAGCUCUUCUUACCAUCCUGAGACAGAUGGUCAGAGUGAGAGGCUUAAUCAGUGCCUGGAGGCUUACUUGAGGUGUAUGACAGGUGAAAAUCCAACUCAAUGGAGUCACUGGUUAAGCCUGGCAGAACUUUGGUACAAUACUUCCUACCACACUAGCCUAGGAGCUACCCCAUUUGAGGCUCUCUAUGGCUAUAAGCCACUGUCCCUACCUAUGGGACCUUACUAAGACACUGUGAUACCAGCAGCCACCAAUAUGCUGCAAACUAGAGCUCAAAUGCUGCAGAGGAUUAAGGAGCAUCUGCACCAAGAUGAAGGUGUUUGCUGACAAACACAGGACAGAAAGGCAGUUUGUAGUAGGGGAUUGGGUUUUUCUCAAGUUGCAGCCAUAUCGCCAACAAUCUAUAGCAAUCAGGAAGAGUUUGAAGUUCGCUGCAAAAUUUUAUGGACCUUUUCAAAUCAUAGAGAAGAUCAGUGCUGUGGCUUACAAGCUCCAACUACCAGCAGGAGCCGAAAUCCACCCAGUGUUCCAUGUCUCCCUUCUUAAACCAAAAUUGGGGCCACAUCAAGCUACUAAUCCUAUGCUUCCAGAACUUGACCACCAAGAUCAAUGCUUAUUGCAGCCUGCUGCCAUUCUACAAAGGAGGGUCAUCAUGCAGAAUGGUGCUCCUGUUAUCCAAUACCUCAUCAAGUGGCAUCAACUGGGAGAAGAAGAAGCAUCAUGGGAAGAUCAAUCCUUUAUCAAUAGCCAAUUUCCAAAUUUCCAGCCUUGAGGACAAGGCUGCCUUUAAGGAGAGGGUAUUGUCAGGAAUAGGGACUCAAUUGCAAUUGGACUAGAAGUUGGAGGGGCAUUAGUGUAAAUUGGCAUUGGAGCCAAAAUUGUUAAAAGUUAGUUAUAACCGUCUGCUGAAGGAGUUAGUUAGUCAUUUCCAUUUCUGUACCAGCAAGAUUCUGAUUCAUUAUUGGGGAGGUAUAAAUCGAAGCCAGUGUAAUGGAUUUGGACAAACGAAAAAUAUUACCAUUGAUUCCUUCCCAAUUCUCUCUCUCUCUUUCUCCCUCUUUCUCUCUGCCUCUCUCCUCUGCCUUUCCCUCUCAUUUCUUCUUCUUGUUCAUUCAAACCUUUCCCACGCCUGCUAGUCUCAACCUUUCCUUCAUCCUAUUGCUGAGAGCCUGACAAAGGACCAAUCCUAGGCCGAAUCAGUUGAGGACCCUGGGCCUGAUCCUAUACAGGAUAGCCCCGGAUGGUCCUCCUUGUGCCUAGCUGGGUGGGCUCUACAACUACAAGAGCACCAAGCCAGAUGUUGGACUGGCUCUACGUUCGCCACUAACAUCUUUUAGUAUUUUUAAAGAUUUUUUGCUGUUUUAUUUCUUUAAAUAUUCUUACUGCUCUUAAUUUGCCGAUAUUGUCCUGGAUUAACUUUUUAUACACUAAUGGUAUAAUGGUUUUUUUACACUAGUAACUUUAGAUGUAUAUCAUAUAUAUAUGAUUUAAAUUUCAAAUUUGAAUUUAUAUUAUGUGACAUAAUCCAAACGUACUAAUGUAAAAGAAAAAUUAUACACUGAAAGUAUAUAAAAAAAAAUUAUCCAUAUUCUUCUUUGUGAAAAUGCUAUCCAUUUCACCACUACUUUGAUUGAUACAAUCAAUUAGGAUGCAUUUGAUAAAAUUGAAGUCUAAAAAUUUGAAAUCUGAAAUCUGAAUCCAUUAAGUUAUUGAAUAGUUAAGUAUUAAAUUUGAUACAUUUGAAUAUAUAUCAUAUUAAGUAACAAGUGAAUAACUUAUCACUCAUUUUUGGGACUAAGUUUUGCUUAGAAAAUUCAAUAUCAUAUAAUUAAUUCAGAUGUUCUAUUUUUUAUUAUCAAGUGCAACUGAAUAUAUUAAAAUCUGAAUCCAUUAAGUUUAAGUGCUGAAUUGAAUUAUCAAACAGGGCUUAGUCAAUUUUGUGUUGUUAAAAAGCAAUUUAGCUAAGUUAUACACAAAUACCAUAAUUGUUUGGUUAUGGUUCCUUUUCUAGUAUAGGAAAGUCGUUUUGACCAUUAAUUUUUAGUUAAAUGUUUUGUCUAUUAUGUUGACAUGGAGGUCCUUCUUUUAAUGUUGAAAAGUACUCCUACUUCAUGAAUACGAAAAAUAUUAAUUAUAGGGUAAAUUACUAGUAAUCUCCCUAUGAUUUUGCAUAUUAUCACAUAACUUCUCAAAUUUAUUCGUGUGGUUUUAUGUAAAAUGGUAAACAGCCUCUUUAACAUCUUUAGUUAAAUGCAAACCUUUAAUUAAAUACUAAAUAAAAUGAGGAUUUGACCAGCAUGUAUGACUAUGUUAAUAUAUGUAAAAUUGCAAGAGGUUAAGUGAAUAUUUAUGCAAAUUUAUAGGAGAGCUAAGUGGACACUAUAAUUCCAUCACAUUCAUUUUUGAGCGGGUCUAGGUCAAUAUUAAUCAGAUAUACCUUCGAUUCAUUUUUCACUUUAUAUAAAAUUUUGGACAGUUACGUGAAUAUUUUAAAAUGUUAGCGAGUCAUAUGGCAAGUGAUUUAGUAUCUAUCAUAGUAGCUGCUACUUAUUUGGUUGGUUGUAUGUCCAUGGCAUAAUGCUACAUGUCUCAAAACACCUGUUCGAUAUCGCUUUAGAUAGAACAAUGAUAUAGAUGUAUAAACUUCUGUCUGGGCAUGCAAUCUUACAUCCCAUGUUUCUAUCAUUUUCGCUAACAAAUUGUUCAGUAGGCCAAUUUUCUUUCUUUAGGCCAGUUGCCUAAAAAUCCAGAAAAAUUCCCUGCAGAAUGUUACACAAUACUUUGGAGCUAUUGUUGGCCGGGUUGUUAAUCGGAUUGGUGGUGCUCAGUUCACUCUAAACGGAGUUCAUUAUAAGCUUGAUACUAAUGAGAAACCAAACAUGCUUCAUGGUAAUUUACUCCUAGCUAUAACACAUGUAAAUUUGAGUCAUCAACUUUAACCACUGACUCUGUCUGUGGAUGCUAUGUAUCGUGAGGGAAACAGGUGGUAGAAAAGGAUUUAGCCUGCUCACUUGGAAGGUGGAGAAAUACGUGAAAGAUAAGGCCAAUCCUUUCAUUGUAUUGUCCUAUUACAGUCCUGAUGGAGAAGAAGGAUUCCCUGGAAAUCUCCUGGUUAGAGUGACCUAUGCUCUACUUGAACCAUAUAAGCUGAGCGUAGUAAUGGAAGCGGAAGCCCUGAACAAGGCUACUCCUGUGAAUCUAGCACAACACAGUUACUGGAAUCUUGGAGGCCAUAACAGUGGUGAGUUUUUUUUUUUUUUUUUUUUUUUUGUUUUUUUUCUCCCCCUCCCCCGCCACCCCUCUUCUCCCUCUCCCCUUCCCCUCCCUUCCCCCGCCACCCAUUUCCUCCCCUCUCCCACGGCACCCCCUCUGCCCGCCACCCCUCUCCUCCCCUCUCCCACGGCACCCCCUCUGCCCGCCACCCCUCUCCCCUCUCCCCAUCCCCCUUCUCUCUCCCGCCUCUGCAAAAGAAGACCGGCAUCUGAAAAUUUUUUUUUUUUUUUGCAAUUUUCCUUCUCCCCCUCUACUCCCCUUCCCCCGCCACCCUCACCCUCCCUCAGUGCAAUCUGGUCUUGCGACUAGAUCGGCCAAAGGGGAAGGGGAAGGGUGGUGGGGGAGGAGUGGGGGAGAGGGAAAGGGAGAAAAAAAAGAGAGAGAGGAUCAAAAUCGGGCAAAGUGGGAGGAUGGAAGGGGAGGAAGAGGGGGAGAGGGAGAAAGGAAAAAAAAAAAACGAAGAUAGGCACCGGAAGAGGUGAUUGGCGGCGGAGGUGGUGGCUGGCGACGGAGGUGGUGGUGGGUCGGGGUGGGGGAGGAAGAAGAAGAAAAGGGGAAGGGAAUUUUGGAUUUUUUGUGUUUUGGAUAUUUUAAAGUGUGUAGGUUAAAACUUUGAUAAGUUUUUGGGGUUUCUGUAGUAAAAGUUGUUAAAAAACUAGUAUCAUACAAACUUGGCAAAAAAUCAAGGUUCCAAACAGGCCCUUUAUUCUCUAAAGAAUCUUGUCUCUUUCUCCGUAUACCCAUUCUAGUUUAGUUUGUUUAUUUUCGGGCUAUUCUUUUUGUUUUGUCACACCAUUACAUUUAUGAUACUCACUUUUUCUAUAUAAAAGAUUUUAGUCCAUGAAAUUUGAACUAAGGGCAGAAAAUACAUCGAAUAUAUCACAAAUAUAAUAAAAUUGAAAAUUCACUAUAUUAGAUCCAGAAAAUGAUAAAAAUUACAACGUGAAACUCCAAUAUAUUCUAAAUCUAAAAAAUUCAUGAGCAAUGCAAUGAAUAUUACUGCAUGUUAGCGCCAUCAAAUUUGCUAUCCAACUAGUUUAAUCUCAAAUUUGAUGUUAAGAUAUGAUGGAGGAACCCAAGAAAUCCCACAUUUGAGAUGCAAAUCUGAAAAAAAAAAAUCUUUAAAUCUAAUAAAGAAAUGAUAAAAAUUAAAGAGAAAACUCUGACUAAAAUAUCAGGAGAAAAGAGAACUCUUAUUGAAUUACUCUAGAAGAUAGAAAAACUCUCACUAGUAAAUAUUAGGAGAGAAAAACUCUCAUAUGAUACUCUAGGAAAGACUUAUUGAAUAUAAAACAAGAGCAAAGGAAAUGAGACUCUAAUUUGAAAUCUCCCACCCACAAAAGAAAAACUAUUGAAUGGGUUUUUCAAGAGAAGGUAGAGAAUAUUUUGACUAUAGUUAUUUUCAAGAUAUGAAGGUGUACAAGUGGUGUUUAAUUUUAUGACUUGGGGGAAAGCCCACACGACAUGCAGGAGAUUAAAGCCCGUCGUUGAAGGUUGUUGGUAAUUAUCGUUUUAAGUUUUGUGUUACUGACUUUACACAUAGGAUGAGAAAAGUUGAAAAGUUGAAAGUUUAUAAUAUGAGACGAUGGGAUUAUUAGUUUAUGAUAGUGGAGAAGUCUGUUGCAUUGGAGACGUGUAUUUUCUAUGCAGUUUAAAGAGAUUUGUCAAAAAAUUCUAUGUCUAUGUCAUAAAUGGUUGCUUCAAUAUUUUACCCCUGCACAUUUUGAUAUAUAAUGCAUAAGAAUAUUCUUUAACAAUAGCAAAUUGUUAUAGUAAAAAUGAAGAAAACUAUGUCGAAAGGAAUUUGAGAAUUGAUUACCUGAGUAUUGACGAACACUAAUUUUUGAUGGCGUCUUCCAUCUUUUGAGAAUCAUGGUGUGUGUUUUUUGAUCACUUCAACAAAUAAUGGUCCAAUUUCAAGUUUAAUGUUGUAUCAUUGAUAACUGGUUCAAGUUCGUGCUCCUUUUUUUGAAGACACUUGAAUUUUGUUUUGUGCGAUUUAUAAGUGAUUAUAAAGAAUACAAAAAUGGAAAAACCAAAGUUAUUAAACUUUUUUCUUUUACCUUGUUUGCAUUUUUUGUGCAUGGAUCCAAAAAUAUUGAAAGGGCAAGUGGCAAACAAGAAGCUUGGGAGUUCAUGAAGCAAAGAAUUAAUCGUGACCUAUCAUUACAAUAGAAGAGGAAGGGAAGAUUAUUGAAAAGUGAGGAGUUAAAAAUAAAAUUCAACUAGAGGAAGGAAGAUCUAACAAAGACUGAUCUACAAGGUAUGGAAAAAGGUCUUACAAGAAUAUGUAUAAUUUUGUAUUACAUAGUAUGAGUUACUACAUUUUGCAACUAUGAAAUUUACAAUUGAACUGAACUAGAAGUAUGGUAGCAUAGUUAUCUGAAAUUUGAUUUGAAGAUGGGCCUUGGCGAGAUUACAAGUAGUUGAUAUUUAACUUUGUAAAGCAUUAGCUGUAGGCAAGGAAUUGAGGUGAAAGUAGUGGAUGUGGCUAACGAAAGUGGGAGACUUUAAAAGAGUAAGAAGAAAGGUGUGGCAUUGAUAAGUAGUAGAAAAAAACUGAAAAAUGAGGAAGGAAAAUGGAUUAGUGGUGAUUAAGUAGAAAGAAGUAUUAGUUACACAAUAAUGAAUUGAUUUGAUUAUGGUUGAGCAUUGACAUUAUUAUAGAUGUGGCAUUUUAAUACAAUUGAUGAAACGGAAGAAUGGAAAGAAUGGUUUAGGAAAACUAAAUCAAUUGUCCUUAUGUUAUAUAGGUUUUUUGGAUCUAACUAUUUGAAAUCACCUAUUAAUGGAAUACGUAAAAAAUUAGAAGCGGCUAAAACUGAUUCCUCAUACAUCAAAAAGCACUUUAAUAACAAUUGAUAAAACCUCCUGCUUCUCAAGCAUUUUUAAGGCCUUUGAUGGGCUUUUAAGACAACACACCAAAAAUAAAGCUCCAUGACUUGCAUCCACUACCAAAAAGACGAUUAAAAUAAACUCAUAUAUCCAAAAUGCUCAUAAGCCAAAAAUAAUGUAAGGACAUUUACAAAACAACAACAAAGCCAACGCUGCCAAAUCUUGUACCUAAAGCUCAACCUUCACUCCAAAUAAUUCCACAUUUCCAAAAUACCCCACCCAUACAGUGCUCUUUUGACCAAAACUCAUUCUUAUAUUAUAUAAAAAGAUAAGGAUACCUACUUAAUUAUGGUUAGUUGCAUUUCAACUCUAAGGGAAGCAACUAAAAUUGUAGUACUUGUUCUUUGCUCUUUCAUAUUUUUAGAUAUAUUACUAGUAAUCCAUAUUGGUAGGAUCAAUACAUAUGGAAUAUAAAUAGAGUAAUAACUCACAAAUAAUGCGAUAAAAAUUAACAUGAACUCCUUUGCGUUUUCUAUACACAUCAAAUUGUUGACAUGAAUUUAAACAUAGGUCCUUUUGUUGAGUUUGAUAUUAACAACUCAAUUUAGAAAUUUGAAUUAAAUGAUUUGGGAUAAUAAUUAAUGCCAAAAAACACAAAGCCAAUUAACUGUCCAAGGAAAUAUUAUGGCUUAAAGUGUCAUAGAGAAGCCAGACAAACCUCAAGGAUAUAGUUGUAAUUUAAUAAAUUUUUUAUUCACUGCUUAUAGUAAAUAUAGUAUUUAUAUAUUCAGGGAAGACUAGAGUGCCAAAAGCGUAGUUAGUAAAAUGUGGGAUGGGUAUAAUACGAAAUUUAAUAUGUACCUAUAUUAUACGGAUUUUUUUUUUCAAAAGUAUGAUUAAAAGCUCGACGUAAAAAUAUGAGUUUGGAAAAAUUAUGUAUAUGAAUUUGAACAUGCAUAAUAAGAAUAUUUUUAGAAGUUACAAACAAAAAUUCAGAUAACUCUUACGAUUUUCAAAUAUUAUGCUACAUUUAUAUCACUUUUAACUCUUAUUCUUGUUUAUUGGAUAUUUAAAUUUAUUAAAACUUUAUUAUCUUAAUAUGUUUAUAUCUUUAAACCUUUACAAAUUUUGAUAUAAUAUAGGUGUUAUAUUAUAUAUAAAUGGAAAGAUAUGUCAUUAUUUUUCCACAAAUUUUAAUUCGAGAAGUAUAAUAUGCCAAAAAUUUAUUAUAUUAUGUGAAAAAUAAGAGCAUUUUUCAGAAUAUUUUAAAAUAUACAAAAUAUGAAAACUUUUUGAAAUUAUACGUGAUAUAAUACAAUUACUUACUACUCAAUAGCCUGAAAGUGAAGGUCAACAGGUUGGCUGUGGUCAUUUAAAGAUGACUUGGACCGUGUCUAAAUUUAUCAAAAAACCAACAGCAGUCAUGGUAACGUCAGCAAAAUGAAGUCAAUCACAAACCCACCAACGAGUAAUCAACAAAUGUUUUGUUAAGUAUAGUUUUCUUCUUUUGUUGAUUUUGAUGCAUAAUUGAGAAAUUAAGAUAAAUUUGACCAUAUGGUGACUCCUAGACAAUGUACUUUGUAGCCAAGUCUAUUCAAAAAGGGUUGUCAAAUAGUUUUUAUUUAUUUUUUUCGACUGAAUUUCCAUGAUCUGCAGAGAAUAAUCAUUAAAAAUAGCUUUACCAAAUGCUCAACCGGCUCAAACCUUUCUCGAUCAAAUCUAAUUUGAAUACAUAAAAUAGAUGCCAAAAAGAAAAAGAAACCAAUGGAAUUUCAUGCUACAACAACAACUGAAGUUGACUAAGUUCUUUGCCUUUAGUUACAUAAUCAUUAGCUAGACGCUAUGCCUCUGGCUCGAACAUACAGCAUUGAGGCCUAAAAUAUUACUCGGUUCAACUUUGAUUGUGAUAAUUUACCAUGCAUAUGACUCUUCGUCUUCUUAAAUAUUCUUUUGGUAUUUAAUCAAACGCCAACAGAGGUAACUUACACGGUUACACCCGAAUACUCUCAUAUUGCUGGGAAAUGGCAGGCUUAAUUGGGACAUGUGAAAAUUUGAAGCAGAAAACCUGCUUCUAGAACAGUGAACUAUUGCAUCUUCUAGGGCGUGCUUCCAGUGCAAGUUGUGGGAGUUUUGGUGCUAUGAAUUCAGUGUGGUUGACUAUGAAUCUGUUGUAGACUUAGUUUUUCUUAGUGCAACAAAAGAAGCAAUAGAUACUUUUUAAGUUAGACUUUUUUUCCUUUCCAAAAUUAUGUGAGAUUAUUAGGUGGAAUAAGUAUACGUGAUAUGAUAAGAAUUUGUGUAGCCAAAAAGUAGGAAGAGAUUCAGAUUGAAAUUGAAAGUUUCACUAGUUUUAACGAAGGUUAUGAGGUACAUACUUGGACACAAUGAUUUUGACCCUUUGAUAUCAAAUUAAUACAUUUGUGUAUUAUCCAGAUGUUUAAUGAGGGAAUUCGAGAAAAACUAUACUUGGGAGGAGGCCAAUCCCUCCUUACAACUCCUUGACUAAUUCAUCACUUUCUCCCUUAACCUUUAUCAAUUUGUCAAUUGACUAAUGGGUUUUAUUAUCUCUAAAUUAUUUAGAAAUUUCAAAAUCUCUUACUAACUUCAUGUUUCUUAUCACCAAAUUAUUUUUAAAUUGCUUAUCUACGUAGUAAUUUAAUUCUUUUAUGACUUUCCAAUACUUUUUCAUAAAUUUACAAUUAUUUCUAUGUUUAUAAUAUUAGCUAAAGGUAGUUCUCCUAUUUGUUUUUUCUUUUUCUUUUUGCGUCAUUUUUGGUACAAUGUAAUUGUCUUCUUUGCUUUUGGAUUUGCUGUGAUUGUGAAAAUAGAUUUAUUCAAUAUAUAUUGCAUUGUUGUUUCAAAUUUUAAGUUAUUUUCAUUGAUGAAUCAAAGUAUUCUAACACAUUGAUGAACUGCAUGUGGAUUCAGAUGAUUCAUUUUAAGUGUUCAUAUGAUAAUAAAAAUGACAUAUUGAUUAUUUAUGACAUAUUUGUGAUAUCACCGCGUCAAUACGGACUUGACAACCGUUCGUCUUACUAUUAAAUUAGUGAUCAUUAAUGCAGUAACAUUUCCAGUUCGAUGAAUGAGUUCGAUUUUAAAAUUUUGGUCCUACAGGAAUUUACUAAAACCGAAGGUUUGAAUCUGAUUGAUCUCCCAUUUAUAAACUAUUUGUUAUCAAGGAUUAAAGAGCACAAGGCAUUUGCAAUCUGGAAACUUUAAGUAAAGCAGCUCUUCCAAAAGCAGUUGUGCUAGAGGCAUAUGGCAAAAUCUUGUAGCUAGAGGACUCUGAUCUCGCUUCUCAUCUUGUGGUCUGGUUGUAGAAUUGGUGCAUUUGGUUCAUCAUGCUACCAAGGAGCAUACCAAUUCUAACCUCAUAUGGAAAGUUUGAGAUCUCUUAGGCCAAAAUUGAGGAGUGCAAAUCAUGGCAUUUUUGGCGAGAAUACAAUUCCUGUGCUGGUUUUUUUUUUUAAAUAUCAGUCUUAGGGUGCGAUUGAUAAAACUGAAAUUUGAAAACUGAAGUCUGAAAUCUAAAAUUUGAAGUCUAAAUCCAUCAGAUCAUUGAAUUGUUAAAUAUUAAAUCUAAAAUAUUUGAGUACAUAUCACAUUCAGUGAUAAAUAAAUAACUUAUUACUUAAUUUUGAGAGUAAGUUUUGCCUAGAAAAUUUAGUGUCACUUAAUUAAUUCAGAUGUUCAAUUUUUGGUUAUCAAAUUGUUAAAAUUUGUUAAAAUUUGAAUUCAUUAAGCUUAUCUGCUGAACUUGUUUAUCAAACAGGGCCUUGGUGUUACACCGGCGAGAGUACAAUUCUCGCGCUGAUUAUUUUUUUUUUAAAUAUCAGUCUCAAUGUGCAACUUGGUGUUACUCUUUUCUCAGAUCCACCUGGUGCUGUUAAGUCGUCCUUGUCAUUCAAUGCAAUGAGUGCAACUCAGUCACAACUCACAAGUAGUCUUAUAAUUGCGACUCCGGCCUUCCUCUUACUAAAAAGAAAACAGGAUCGAUCUCCCAUUUAUUGCAGAAUGUAUGUUUAACUUAAUUCAGAUCAAAUGGACAGUCAUUGGUUUGCAUAUAAGCAAGUACAUUCAGUCAUUCAUACAUACAUACAUAUAUAUAUAUAUAUAUAUAUAUAUAUAUAUAUAUAUAUGUGAAAAAGAUCACUUGUUUCAAAUUACCAUAAUUACCUAUUCAGUAAUAAUAACAACUGGGAAGCAAUGGAUUUGCUCAUGUUUAAAAAUAGUCUUCAUGCUUGGACAUCCAUAUCAACAGCGAUAAUAUAUAUCUCUGCCGUCUCAAAUACAUUCUUUUCAUCAACAACUGCAUUUCAAAAAUAGCCCACUUAAAUACAUUCUUUUCGUCUAUAACUGCACUAAAAAAAUACAAGACAAGCUAAAGGAGUUUACUUGGAACAAAGUCCAAGUUAUGGACUAGUUAAAAUAUGAACUUUGAAAUACAAGGAGAUUAAAAAAUCAGAUCAAAGACUAUUAAGAUUGAAGACAAUGUCAUAGAAUUAUCAUUAUCAUUACUAUUUAAAAAAUAUGAUGUGUUUAUACAAUUAGAAUGUGUAAUAAACUUUUAAUUGCUUUGUGUAAAUAAAUAUUUUGUACAACUACCAACUGCUUAAUAUUGCUCAUUAUAUAGUUUCUCAGUUUAUAUUAUGCCAAUAAUCAAAGUUUUACAAAGAACUUUAUUAUAUUAAAUGUUUUUAUAUCUUAAAAAAAUAUGUUCACGUGCACAGCACAUGAAUUAUUAAGGAGAUCAAAGACUAGAAACAGUGUCGUAGACUAUUAAGACUAAAGGCAAUGUCACCGCCAAAAGGUGGUGUGUUCGAAUCUCGCUACUGCUUCAAAAUUGUGCUGGUGAGGUAUUUGUAAGAACCGCUCCAAGUAGCCUAUAAUCACAAAGGCAUACAUUGACUCGUGGUGGUAAUGAAUCCAUUCAAACAUUAAUUUACCCAAAAUUACAAUUAUUACUUUCAGGAUGACAAAAUUACAAAAUAUUUCCAAAAUCUUGAUUUGCUCCAUGUAUUGUUAGGUUUGGUCCAGAAAAUUGACGAAUGGGUUUUUGGCAACCCGAAAUACAAAUUACAAUAUAAAUAACAAAGCAAAAAUAAAUAAAAUAGAGAUAAAAAUUUAUGUGGUUCCAUCAAAUGACCUACUUCCACGGGGAAGUUUGAUACUUAACUCAAAAACCUGCAUAAGGCCCCGAAAACCUUUGGCAUACUUAAACUCACUUAAUCCAAUAUAUUUAUAACUACUAAAUAGAAAGACUUAUUUGUAAAACUCCCUAUGUGAAAUAUAAAGACAAACUCAACAAGUACGCAGGGUUUAUUCUUACAAAGAAUACAUCUGCAUCAUAUCAUCUUUUGCUGAUGCUUGAUUGUGCUAUGUAGGGGGGAAAAAGUAAGGCACUGCAUUCUGCAUUUAAUAGCUAGGAAGAUACUUGCAAAAAAAAAAAAAAAAAAAAAUCAUCCAACUUCUACAUAUCUGAUGCAUCUAUUAAUUUAACAAGAAAAGAAAUGGAAAAGAGAAUCACACGGCCACGGUUAAUCACAAGAAGUCACUUAGAUGGUUCACAAGCUGACAUCGACCUGGAAAUAAGGAGCAUUGUUGGCCUACAUUGAGGAUCAGCAUGUAGACAUUCUCUUGCUAGUUUGAGAAUGGACAUUAGGAUCUUUUCAAUUUCUUGAUUGGGAUACAGAAGUCUUUGGUCGAGCAAGUCUUUUAGUUCUAUAUCUUCAGGGUUUGAAGACAUUAGAUUAGCAAUCAAGUCUCCAGGAUGCUUUCCUUUGAUUACUUCCAUCGUCAGGACCCCAAAGCUAUAAACAUCACAUUUUUCAUCAACUUUCAUUGUGUAGGCAAAUUCUACAAGAUAAAGUUGGAAGAUCAUGAUAUGUGAUCAUAUUUGAAUUUACUAGUUAACAAAUUAAUGAAAGGAAAGAAAAGAAAAAAAACCUUUAUAAUUACCUGGUGCAACAUAUCCAUAGGUGCCUGCAAGAGAACUCCAAUUAGAUGAGUCUUUUUUCAGAAACUUGGAAGUGCCAAAAUCUGAAAUGUGAGCCUCAUAUUCUGGAUCAAGCAAAAUGUUUUUGCUUGAUAUGUCCCGAUGUACAAUCACUAGUGAACAAUCAUGAUGCAUGUAAGACAAAGCAUGAGCGAUGCCUUUAAUGAUUUUCAACCUCUUUUGCCAGUCUAGCACCUUAGCUUCUUCUUCUAUGCUCAAGAUUUUGGCCAAGCUUCCUCUUUCAAGGUGCUCAUAAACCAAAAUCGAAUGCUGAGCAUUUGAGCAGAAGCCAAAGAGUUUCACAAUGUUUCGAUGCUUGAUUUCUGUCAAAGCCCUGAUCUCAUUCAAGAAAUUUCUAUCCUUUGCCACAUUAGGCAUGUUGUGAAGUCUUUUUACAGCUACUACAUCGCCUGAUGGAAGCUGUGCUCUGUAAACACUUCCAUAACCUCCUUUCCCAAUGCAAAAUAUUUCACUAAACUCUUCCGUAGACCUCACUAUUUCUUUAUACAAUGCCUUGGCAUCAUGAGCACAGAUGGCAAAUAAAUUGCCCAUCUUCACCUCCAUAACUUCCGCUCUUGAAUUCCUUUUCCUUUGAUCAUGCAAUCUGAGAACUCCAAAGAAUGCACCAAGACGCAUGAAUGAUCCCAGAAGAGGUAAUACAAUUACGAGAACAAGUUCCUUCCUUUUAUUCAUGCCAUGCUUUUUACUCAAUGGGGAACUUUCACAGGCUUGUAACCCGGUAAUAUUGCCACACAAACCUUUAUUUCCCUUUACUUCUUCUAAGGUUAGAUUCGCAAAGGCUCUACCACUCGGAAUUGGACCCUCCAAAUUAUUAAACGAAAGAUUAAUGUGACAUAAACCGGGCAGUGCUGCCAAAGUUUUCGGGAUCAAACCAGAGAGGUUAUUAUGGGAGAGAUCCAACAUCCCCAGACUCUGUAAACUUUGAAGCUCGGAUGGUAUCUCUCCUAUGAAGAAAUCUUGACUCAAAUCCAAUUCAGAAAGUUGGGUUAACUUCCCAAUUUGGGGUGGAAUCUUCUGACUUAACAUUGUUGCUCAAGUUCAUGUCAUGAAACAAGUGUUUCAAAUCUCCCAGAAGUUUUGGUAAAUUUCCACUCAAGGAGUUUGUGGACAGGUCAAGAAAUUCCACUAGCCCUCCCAAUUCCUGAGGUAUACCACCAAGAAAUUGGUUGUCAUGUAAAUCUAGUUUAAGCAUAGAAGCUAACUUUGCAACUGCCCUUGGUAUCUCCCCUGAUAAAUAAUUUGAAGAAAGAUUAAGUGCACGUAGUUGUGUUAAAUUUCCAAUUUCUGGAGGUAUACCACCUGUGAUGUUGUUCUUUGCAACCAUCAGGGUCGUCAAAAGUUUGCAUUUGCCCCAAUUGCUGGAGAGUUCUCCGUAGAAUUCAUUGUUGCUGAGAUCUAUGAAAUUCAGGAAUGGAUAGAUUCCAAACAUUUCUGACAAGUUUCCGUGGAAAUGGUUACCAUUGAAACUGGCCCUAACUAAGCUUGAGCAGUUUCGCAAGCUUCUAGGGAUUGGACCUGAAAGCAUGUUCCCAGAUACAGCAAUAAAUUGGAGUGUUGCAUUUUGACAUAGUAGUUCUGGCAAUGGACCAGAGAACUGAUUUUGAGCCAAUAACAUAAAAGCCAACUUUUUCAAGUUUCUUAGCUCUUCUGGAACGGUACCAGAAAUUUGGUUAUCUCUUAGCUGCAAUCUUCUUAAGCUGCUCAAGUUACCAAUUGCAACAGGAAUGGGACCAUUAAGUUGGUUCUCACCUAUUCCCAUAUCGAUAAGGAAUUUCAGAUCACCCAGUUCCUUUGGAAUUGAACCCGAAAGCUGAUUGUAAUAGAGAUAUAGUUGAAUUAAAUUAGUUAAAUUUCCGAGUGACUUUGGGAUGGCGCCAGUAAGAUUAUUCUGACUCAGAAAAAGAAACUGAAGUGAGAUCAAAUUCCCAAAUUCACUAGGAAUGGGACCAGAUAGGUGAUUUUGGAAAAGACUUAGAUUCACCAAUCUAUUGAGGUUACCAAAAGUGGUUGGAAUUGAACCAGAAAAUUGAUUCGUUUGGAGAGACAAAUAUUCCAAGUUGCUCAAGUUACCAAUUGAAACAGGAAUGGAACCACUGAGUUGGUUUUCACUUAUCGCUAUAUCCAUAAGGCAUUUCAGAUCACCCAGUUCCUUUGGGAUUGAACCCGAAAAUUGAUUGUAAUAAAGAUACAGCUGAAUUAAAUUGGUUAAAUUUCCUAGUGACUUUGGGAUUGCACCAGUAAGAUUAUUUUGAAACAAUAAAAGAAAUUGAAGUGAGAUCAGAUUCCCGACUUCACUAGGAAUGGGACCAGAUAGGUAAUUUUGAUAGAUACUUAGAUUCACUAGUCUAUUAAGAUUACCAAAAGUCGAUGGAAUUGAACCAGAAAACUGAUUCGUUUGGAGAGACAAAGAUUCCAAGUUACUCAAGUUACCAAUUGAAAUAGGAAUGGAACCAAUAAGUUGGUUCUCACCUACUUCCAUCUUGGUAAGGAAUUUUAGAUUACCCAAUUCCUUUGGAAUUGAGCCCGAAAGUUGAUUGUCAUUGAGAUGCAGUUUAAUUAAAUUGGUUAAAUUGCCUAGUGAUUUUGGGAUUGCACCAAUGAGAUUAUUUUGAUUUAAAAUAAGAAACUGAAGUGAUGUCAAAUUCCCGAUCACACUGGAAAUGGGACCAGAUAGGUGAUUUUGGAAAAGGCUUAACUCUACUAGCCUGUUGAGGUCACAAAAACUGGCUGGAAUUGAACCUGUUAAAUUGUUGUCCUCGAGAUAAACUUCAAUGAGAUUAUGUAGAGUUCCUAAUCCUGUUGGAAUUGGACCUGAAAGUCGAUUACUUGCAAGAUCCAAAUGAGUCAAGCUUCUCAAGUUGCAAAUUUCAGAUGGGAUUUCUUGUGACAAUUCAUUUACUGAAAAAUCAAGAUAAAUGAGCUUCGCCAGGCUACCUAUCUGUUUAGGUAUGCAACCAAAGAUCUGAUUAUGGCUGAGAUCAAGAUACUCAAGAUUUGGGAGGGAUGAAAAUGGGAAAUCAAAGAGGCUACCUUUAAUACUCCAAGCUGAGAGGUUCAACCUGUUGACACCUCCAACAACGCAGGAAAUACCGGCACAAGUGCAUGGAAGGCUAGAAGAAUUCUUGGCAAUGAUAGAUUGAAGGUUCCAUGAGGUCAGAAAGCUAUUGUUCUGAUUUUGAAAACUGGCUUUCCAUUUCAAAAGAGCUAAAGCCUCUUCAGCAUAAGCUGAAGCUCCACAUUUGGGGUGAAAUGAUGGGAAAAGUAAGACCAGAAGGAAUAAGGAGAUCAUUUUGAAAGAACUCAUGAUUACAUUCAAGUUUAACUCAAGUUGGCUCACGUUGUUACGCUGUACCCCAAAUGAAGCCAGUAUUUAUCCUAACUGUACACGGAAGACUUCAGAGGUCUUCUUGCUCGGUUCCCUCUUCUUUAUUUUCAUUGAAUCUUGACAUUGAAACACAUAAGAUGUCUAUUACAAUGGGCCAAGAAAUUUAAAGCAAUGAAGUCUUUCCACGAGAUUGACUAUUUUGAUCUUCUAUCAGUAAUUUUUCCUACUGAAUCUACAGAAUAAUGUGACUCGAGUACCUUUGGAGAAGGAGUUGAGAUCACCUGAUUCCUAAAUAAUGAUGAACCUAUAGGCUGAGCAAGUUAUGUUAUAGUUCUAGCCCCGUUUGACAAAAGAGUUUUUUGGAUGUUUAUCUAAAAUUUUAUUGUAACUUACUAUAGAGGUUGUAGAAAAAAUUCUUCAAGUGUAUAAAAUUUUAAAUAUUUUGAAAUGUAUAAUUUAAAAACUUUGAAAAGAUUUUAAGGUUACUAUAACUAAAAUUGUUAAAAAACUUGUAGCAGACAAACUUGGUCAAAAACUUAUUUGCCAAACAGACCCUAUUUUCUGGAUAUGGAUUAUACAAAGCUAUUUGACAGUAUAUUUCACAAAAUGCAAGAGAAGUCAGAAAUUGCCGAAAGCUAUUUUUGCCAAUUGUAUAGGAAGAUUUAGUUGGUCGUAGCACUUGACAAAAAAGGAUAUGGCUGGCAUCGGCACUCUAGGACAAAUUAUAUAUAACCGCUCGUAGUUUUGUAUAUUACGAUAUAACUCCUCUGAAGUUUUAAAAUAGCUUUAUAACUUCCUUAUAUAACCCGCUUAUGUAUAAGAAUAAUAUUAUAAGAUAAGAAUCAAGUAAAAAUAUCGUAGGAUACAAUAGCUAUGCUUGUUUUUUACUGCCUCCGUCUCAAUAUGUUUUUAUCGCUCUUUGACAAUCCAACUUUUUAAAAAUAGUGUUUUGAUUAUGAUGUUAUAUUUUUCUUUCUAAUUUUAUCUCCGAAUUUCAGAUUUUGAAUUUGAAUAUACAAUGUGUAUGAAUAAAAAAAUGGACAAUAUCGGGAAUAAAAAUAUAAAAUAAUUUUGACUUUUGUAACAUGAGAAACAUUUUGGAACAAAUGGAGUAACAAAUUUGAGACUGGGAUCUUGUUGCCAAAGGUCCCAAUGAAUACUAAGUCAAAAUGAGGGCCUACCUUAGUCUGUUAAGGCUUGAUGAUGAAACUUUCGUGAGCAAUUAACUAUUUUUCUUUAGGGUAAGCAAUAAAAAAAAUCCCUGUGGUAUAGCUAAAAGCUUCUUGUAGUUUCAAAUCAUACGUGUUGGUACCUUAUAGUUUGAAAUAAUUUGAAACAUUGACGAAAAUCACUAAAACAAACAAUUUUGAGUGAAAUGACAGAAAUGCCCUAAUAAUAAAAGCAAAAAAUAGUCUAAAACAAAUGGUUUUGAUUCAUUAGUUUCAUUCACUAAUAAUAUAAGCAAAAAAUGUCGAUUUCUACAAGUUCGAAGCAAAUUUGAAGAAGAAUCAUGGUUGUUUUAUUAAGGUAUGAGGAGCAAAAUAGGUAUUUCAGAUAAAAAUUUGCCUUAAAAAACUAUUUUUUGGAAGAACCAUAUGCAUUUCCAGUGCGUUUACGUCAAACGCAUUAAAUUUAACGAUUUCCGUUGAUUUUUCACUUUACUUCAAACCAUGAGGUACCAAUGUGUAUGGUUUGAAAUCAUAGGGGGCUUUUUUCUAAGAUAGCUAUACUACAGGAGGCUUUUUUGUUGUUUAUCCUUUUCUUUAAAAUCCUACAAAUUGUAUAAGACACAACAUGCAAGAAAAUACAAGGAAAUACACAAAAUUGCUACACUAAUGAAAAAAUAACACUAACAAAAUUGCUACAGUAAUUUUUCCUACUAGCCAAAUAUGCAUGAAGAAAAAAUAACUAAUUUUUCUUCACUUUCCUCCACUUUUCCUUGCAACCAAACACUAUCCAAGAUUUUGAAAUUCUUCUUGACAUUGGAGUUUGGGUAAAUGAGCCUAAUCGAUCCGACUAUUUUAAUAUUUAAAUUUGUUUUAUUAUUUUAUCAGAUUUGAAAUUGUGUUUAACCUUAAUUUGUUUAUUUAUCACUUCAAACUUAAGCAAACUUUUAUCGAAUCAAAUUUAAAUCGAGCUACUUUGAGUUAAGUUCAAGCAGUUUGAACCUUCUAAAUGUAAGUUUCACUUUUAUACUAAAUAGUAUGGGAGUAUGUGCGUUGCACGCUAUAGGUGUUAUGUUUAUAUGAUACUUGUUCAAAUAUUCAUUCUCGUAAGAUUAAUUAAAAAAAAAUUAACUGUUUAAAAAGUGUUGCAUCGAUAACAAUCUUCUCGUUUAAUGACACAUAUAAAAGACUUUUGUAGGUUUUAACAAAACUUAAUUAAUUGUAUGUCUUGAUAAAAAUCUUAGACAAAAAAAUAGAAGUAAUUUGGAAAAUAAAAGAAAAAGAAUUUAUUGAAGGAAAAAAUUCAUUAUUUCCAUGCCAAUUAACAUGCAUGUCGAGUUUCUUAUUGUUUAAAUAUUUUGAUUACCAAUGGCAUCAUUUAAAUAUUUUGUUCCAGGAUUACCAGGCAUGUCUAACUAAAUCUUAAGUGUGACUUGGAAUACAUAUUAGAAUCAUGCUUCCUUUUGACCUCUGAGUAAUUUUAUAACAAAUUGAAAGAUGUUAAAAUAAAAAUUACAGUGAUACUGGUUUUUUUGGCAUCAUUAUAUUUUGCGAUACUGGUUUCUUUGACAUCAUUAUAUUUUGUUAAUUAAGGUUAGUUUCACAUGAACUCUAAUUAAUGCUAUUACACUUCAUUUUACUUGUACUUAUAAUUUACUACCAAAUUCUUGGCAUGAAUUUAAAGGUAUAAUCGACUUGGGCUUCUCGUCUUCCGUUCUAUUUCCUUUUCUUGAGUUUAAUGUCAACAGACCAACGUUAAAAACUUCAACGAAUUGAUUUUUGGGUAGUAAUUAGCACUUGGGAUCCUCGGUGACAUGUUUUCUAUGUCAAUCCAAUGCCACCAAUAGUGUUGCGCCAAGUGUCAUAUUAUUAUUUAUAUUUGUGCUAAACCAAGCCAAGUUGAAUUAUUAGAAAAUUAAAGUGUAAUUAAUAACAAGACACUUGGCGCAACACUAUUGAUGGCAUUGAAUUGGCAUAGAAAACAUGUCACCGAGGAUCCCAAGUGAGUAAUUAGUGCCAAAAACUCAAAGGCUAACUGUCAAAAGAAAAUUUUAGAGCAUAAAUUAGAAUUGUAAUCUAAUCUUAUAUUAUAAAAUUUAUAGCUACGAUAGUUAAGAAAGACCGUUCUGACAGUGAAGUUCAUCAGGUUAUUUGCGGUCAGUAUAGGCCAUUUUAAAUAUGACUUGGACAGCGCUAAAUUUUCAAGUACCAAGGCCUAUGUCUUGACAACCUUAGCAAAAUGAAGGAAAUUCUAAAUCCACCAACGAUGAUCAAUAGUAUAUAUGACUAUUGGAUGAAUCCUAGAGAAUGUAUUUUGAAGCAAAAUCUAUUCAAAUGAGUUACGAGAUGUGAAGACCCCACCUCCCCACGGAACGAAUCCAAGAGUUUGGCAGAUCGCCUGUCCAACUUUCGUCGGAACUCACUCGCUAGCAUUCUUAAAAAAGGUUAUUUACGCUUCUAAAUUUAUAUAGGAGGUUCCCAAAGCAACCAUAAUUCAAACUUCGUUUACAAGUUAAAAGUGAAAUGUAACUUUACAUUGCCAAAUAUUCCAAAUACAUUCAAUCCAUAAAAGUACGAAUACAAGAAACUUAUAUACACUAGUUCAUGCCUACUUGCUCCGACUUCCACUCUUAUAAGAAAAACAAACUAACAGAAUGACCUAAAAAGUCAAUGAGAUUCCUAAACAAGCAAUUAAGCAGGUAUAUACAGAAACAUUUACAUUUAAUACUUUGCACACUUGACACAGUAAUAAGCAGCCAUUCAAGAAUCAAUUAUUCAUUUAUUGAAAGAAUACGUGCUCACUUGAAACCAUUCAUUCAUUCAAUCGUCGAUCGUUUUCCUUAUCCCUCCAAUGUAAUCAUUGGCCAUUCGCCAACCAUCUGCCCCUCCACCCCACGCGACCCACCCAGCCCAUCAUAAUCAUUGGCCAUUGCCAACGCUUUCCCUUAGUCAAUUCUCUCCUUCUCCCCUUCUUGUCCUAAUGUCCCCCACCAGUAUUUUUCAAACGUUGCGUAUUGACUCAGUUAUCAUGAUGGGAAAAGUAGGACCAAAAGGAAUUUGGAGAUUAUUUCGUAAGAGCCCAAUGACAAUUUCAACUUCAACUCAAGUUGGCUAGCGUUGUUACUCUGCACCACAAAUGAAGCAAGCACUUAUCCCCUCCGUACAUGGAAGACUUCAAGGGUCUUCUUUUUCUGUCCGCCCUUCUUUGUUUUUUUUUUUUUUUUCUUUUUGAGAUUGAAACAAAUAAGAUGUCUACAAGCGAAAUUUAAAGCAAUGAAAAUGUUUUCAUGAGAUUGACCAUUUUUUAUCCUCUAUGACUAAUUUUUCCUAUUGAAUAUACACAAAAAAGGUAACUCGAGUAACUCUUGGAGAAGGAGCACAAGGCUGAGCAAAUUUUGUUAUAAUUCUAUAUUUUCUUGGCAUGGAUUAUGCAAAGUUAUUUGACAGUAUAUUUUCAUGAAAGGCAAGGGCAGUCAGAAAUCGCACAAAGCUAAAUUUUUACCAAUUCUAUAGGCAGAUUUAGUUGGUCGUAGUACUUGCCCAAAUAGAAUUUAGUUGGUAUUGGUACCAGAACAUUUAUGUGUCUGUUUAAUUUCAAGCAUUGUCUGCCUUCAGGUUAAUAUAACCUUUUCUUUUCCUGUUAGUUAAAGGCUGCAGAACUUCCUCAGAAGUGAGGAUAAUUUGGCCAGAAUUAGGAGAAGCAUUUGAUUGAAUUCUGAGGUGAAAGUUUAGAACUAAUGGUACUGGCGAAUUCUAAAAUUUUACAUUGCAGUUAAAAACUUAACCACCAUCUUGAAGAAUGUCCAAAACACAGAAGUUUUAAUUGCUGAUGUAACAAAUGCAUUGCAAAAUUUUUCCACCUGGAACGUUAGUUGAGUGGUUAAGGAUAUUAACAUUGUUGCCUUGAGAUGGCAAAGUAUGCUAGUUUAAUUGAUGAUUCUAUCAUGUGGGUGGUUUCUUGCCCACACUUUUUUCGAUCCACUCUUUAUAUCGGCUCAUCAAUUCAUUAAUAUUAUAGGUUUUUUUUCUAUCAAAAAAUAUAUUUGAUUUUCAUUCAUAUUGAUCUAUUGAUCAAUAUAAGGACAACAUAUAUAUAUAUAUAUAUAUAUAUAUAUAUAUAUAUAUAUAUAAUAAUUCAGUGUAACCAGAUCAAUAAGUUAUUCUAUAAACCCAAGGACACGCAACAUCAAAAAGUUAACGAUAAUAUUGCAGUUGUGCUUGUUUUCAAAAUUAUUAGAUAUGGUUCAAUUAAAAAUUAUUUUGGAAUACGGCAGUCGUGCUUGUUUUCAAUCAAAUUUGAGGUUGUGCCCUUGUUGGCAAAGGUCCAAAGGACUUUUAAGUCCGGACAAGAACCUAUCCCAAUCUUCAAGGUAUAAAAAUAUAGCCUCAUCGCUUUCUUAUCAUAAAUUCACGAUGCACCAAGGUGGGAACGGGGUGGCAGAUGGGUCUACCAAGCGCUAAAAUUUUGAAAAUCUUAUUGCUAGACAAUCAAAUUAGGGGAUAAACGAUCUUAAUCAAGUGAAUAUUCUCAUGUUCAAAUUUUUUAAUUGUUUUUAAUAAAUCUAAAAUUGUGCUAACAUUAGUUUGUUUAUUUGCAGAAUCAAACUUAAACGAACUUUUAUCGAAUUAAACUCAAGUUGAGUUCGAGUAGGUUAAACUUUUUAUGCUAAUAGAGUCAAAUUCGAAUCGAAUUUCACAAUUUACCAAAUACAAGAUGUUGCUGGAGUUUGACUUGAGUAGCUGACAAUACUAAAGUCAAACGAGUUCUUACCAAAUCGAAUUUAAUUUGAUUUGUCUUUUAAUCCUUAUUGCAACAUUAUUUCUUUCAAGUGCAUUGUUAGUGAAAUUAGUUUUUCCCACUUAACAGUAUGUUUCCCUCCCUAGUCUUGUGUGUGUCCAAGUAUUGCUGCUCCUCUUCAUUCCACCCUACCCCACCCUAUUUCACUCAUUGCCAAAGCAUUCCUUUCUUCAAUUGUCUCCUUUUCCCUUCUUGUCCUCCAUUAAUAUUUUACCUACAUGACUUUCAUCGAUGUGAUUGGUUCGGUAUCAUGACUUUCAUCGAUAGCAAUCGCUUUUAUAAGUCUCCCGAAGUAACGGGAAAAGUAGGACCAAAAGGAAUAGGAAGAUUGUUUCGAGAGAACUCGGCUCUGCUUGGAUUAGCUAUUUUGGAAGUGUUUUUUAAAAAUUUUACUGUAACUGUGUAUAUGAAAAACUUUUACUGUAGAUGUUUUUAGGAUUGUUUUUAGGGGUAUUUUUAAAAUAUAUUUUUGAGUAUUUUUAUAAUUUACAAUUUUUUGAGAUUUUUUUAAAUAUAUACUGGCUCUGUUUCUAUAUAUUAAUAUUUAUUUAGUUAUAUAUAUAAUAUUUUUUAUUUCAAUUUUGUUUUACAAUAUGUGUAUUAAUAUAUAUAAUAUAAAUAUAAUAUGUAUAUUAAUAUAUAUUUAAUAUAUAUAUAAAUAUAUAUUAGUAUAUGUUAAUAUACAUAUUAUAAUAUACAAAUUGAAAUAUCUACAUUUAUAUAUUUAUAUAAUAUAUUUAUAUAUUUAUAUAAAAAAUAUAUAUUUAUAACAAAUCCCGUCUGUUUUCAUAUAAAUAUAUAAAAAUAAAUAUAUUUAUAUAUUUAUAUAAAUAUACAUAUACACAUAUUUAUAAAUAUAUUUUAAACAAAAAUAUUUAUAUUUACAUAUAUAAUAUAAUACACAAAUUGAAAUAUACAUAUUAACAUAUAUUAAUAUACAUAUUAUAAAACAAAAUUGAAACAAAUAUAUAAAUAAAUAUUUAUAUAUAUUUAUAUAAAUAUAUAUAUAUUUUAAAGAAAAUAUUUAUAUUUAUAUAUAAAUAUAUAAUAUUUAUUGCAAUUGAUAUAAUAUAUAUAAUAUACAUAUUAAUAUACAUAAUUGAAAUAUACAAAUUGAAUAUACAUAUUAAUAUUUAUUAUUAUACAUAUUAUAAAACAAAAUUGAAAUAAAUAAAUAUAAAUAAAUAUAUUUAUAAAUUGAAAUAAAUAUAUAAAAAUAAAUAUAUUUAUAAAUUUAUAUAAUAUAUAAAAAUAAAUAUAUUUAUAAAUUUAUAAAAAUAUAUAUAAAUAAAUAUAAACCAGGAAAGAUAAGAAAGCAGAGGGAAUUAAAAGCAUAAAGAUUAGAAAGUGGGUCGCAGUUGGACUGCCACUAGUUAGUAUAGGCGGUUGAACCAGCCAUAUAAAACAGAAUGUAAAAACAAGAAUUAAAUGGAUAUGAGACGGCUCGGCCGACUAUUUGAUUGAAUAUAAGAUUUACAAAAAUAAAAGAAAACUUACAAGGAUAUGAAGCUUGUACCAAACUCCUUUGUUUGAUCUAAAAACUAAAAUAUAAAAACUAAGAACUUGCUUGUAGAGAGAGGGAGGAGAGUUUCUUCAAACUAGAGAGAGAAGUGGUCUUGAAGAAAUGGUGUUCGAAUUGUGUGUGGAAUGUGUUGGGUUUGAGGGGUAUUUAUAGCAAAAUUUUCCGUAGUGUUACAGUACCCGCUACAGUGAUUUUGCUACAGUACUGCUAUAGUGUGCUCUACAGUGCAUUGUUUGUCUUUUGUUGCUGUGUUUGCACAGUAACCUGCUGGACUGCUACAGUGCUUCCGGUGCUACAGUGAAAAUGAAUUUUGUUCCGAUUGAGCCAGCUUGAAUAUCUGCUUGUUUUUAGUAGAUUGUCAAGGAUAGCUCUUGUUUUGUUUCCUGAAUCAUUUUGUCAAAUUCAGGUGCUUGUGUUCCCCAUUGGUGCUUGAUCCAAAGUUUGUGAAGAGUUAAUCUCUGAAUUUUUCUUCGCCUCAUGAAGCUUUGGUCCUUCAAGCUGCGAACUGUAUAGUUCGUUGGCUUUGCAACAAUGUUGUCAUGUUGGUACUGAAGAUGUGGAGAAAUGCUCUGUCCAGUUUCAGUGUUGUAAAAUACAACAUUGAAGUAUUUGAUUCUCUCCUCCCUGCAUUGUUGUUUGUAAGAAUAAUAUUCUUUUGCAAUAGAAUUAUUAGUAAGGUAGUGAGGUAUCCAUUCGUUGGCUGGCGCUGAGUUUGUCAUUUUUCCUACAAAACAGAAUUUGUUAGUUUUUUUAGAAAAAGGCAGGAGGGCAUUUGAAUCAAGAAAUUGGGGUAUUAUGCCCUCGUUUGUAGUAAGGUAAGGAAUAAGUUUAUGAAUGAGGGGUAUUCCAAAAAUAACAUUAUUGGAUAAUUUUUUGGCUAGAAGAAAAGUAUUUGGAAUGGAUAAGGAAAAGAACUGGAUUUGCACAUUUGUUAACUUGAAGUUAAUUUCAAGUUUAGAUCCAUUAGCUCCUCUUAGGAUUUCUUGGUUUUGUUCAAAGAAUUGAGGUGGGACAAGGCUUUCAAGAAUACAGUUUUGGUCUGCCCCAGUAUCAAACAGAGCUUCAGUUUCAAUUACGUAAUUGUUGUUAAUCAGUAAUCGGAUCUGGACCAAAUAAUCCUUGUCUUCCUUGGAUUUUUUAGAUAAUUGUUUUAGGAAUUCGGAAUCCUCCUGGUUUAUAGGUUCCUCAAUUGGUGUCAGGUUUUGAAGAACAAGGCUGUUAAGGUCUUGUUUGGCAUUAAUUGAUCUAAUUUCUUCUUUGAGUAGAUCAAUUUCUGUUUGAAGGUGUUGAAGAGCCAAACGUUUAAUAGGUUUGGAGGGAAACCUAUCAAGAAUAUCUGUGAGAUUGUAGGUUUUGAGAAUUCUAGGGUCUCCGGCUAAAGGAUUUGAAGAAUUUGUGGCUCGGUUCAAAUAGAGUUGUCUCUUCUCUAUUUCAGGAGUAUCUUCAAUGAUAUCAAGAAGAAGGUUUUGGUCUUUUGUUAAGAUAUUGAUGGUAGGACUUCUUUCUUCUUUGUCACUGGUGGGAUGAGAGGAAGAAGAUGUUGAAAUAUCAUCUUCUAACUAAUUGAGAUAAUCUUCUUCUCUUUCAGAAUCAUCAAUUUCUGAUUCGAUUAGAAGAUUUGAUAUUUGGGUUCUAACAUGGUCUUCUAAUCCUAAGGUACUGAUCCUUUGGUUGAGUUUACAGUAUUUGGCUAUAUGUCCGGGUUUGUGGCAUUUGUAGUAAACUGGAGAAGAGUUUGUUAUUUGAGGAGGUUGUAUGGGUAAAGGUUGUUUGGGUUGAAAUUUCUUUUUGUAUAAGGAUGGUUUUUCAAGAUGUUUUGUGAUUUUGGGCCGUUUGUGAAGUUUUUUGUAACAAUUGGGUAACCCAAACUAUUCACAAAAGGAUUCAAGGUCUUUUCUCCUUUGCUAGUUGUCUGAGCAUCUUGUCUUGUCUACACACUUUGAGUGCAACUUGUUGAAUCUGACUGGUUAACUGUCCAUAGGUUAUUUCCUCCUGAUAAGUGAAUAUUUAACGUGUAUUUUAUACAAUUUUGGCAUGAACUUUUGGUAUGUUUUAAGAAGAUUAAAGUCAUAUUUGAACUCUAUUGGUGAUAAUUGCUUAAAUAUUGUUUAAGUGUUCAAAACUUGAUAAAUGAGUGGAUUAAUGCGUUAAUUUUGUGAAAUUGUGAAGGAUAUCGAUGUAUGAAAUUCAUGCACGAGCUGAAAGAAGUGUAAGGAUUGUCCAAAGGAUAAAGUACACAAGAAAUUAGGAGCAAAAAUGAAGGAAAAAGGAAAGAAGUGAAAAAUUGAAAAUUUAAUGGCACGGAUCCGAGCUCGGAUCCGUGAGAGCAAAGAGGGAUCCGAACUGUGAGAGCAAAGAGGGAUCCGAACCCUCGUCUGUACUUCUGGAGGAGUGUAUCUGAGAUCAGACGAUCCGACCUUGGAUCUAUCAUGGGAAGUCCUCGGAUCCUGGAGAUCCGAGCUCGGAUCCAUUUUCACCCCUCGGAUCCGAGGCUCGAAUCUGUCUCUUUCUUAAGCAAGUGGCACAGUCAUUUUUCUUUACCUUUCUCACAACUUUUCCAGCUAUUUUAAGGGACAGAAAUCGGUGGCACAUGCUUCUGCAACAAAAGAGAAGACCAAAUGAGUUGUAGAUAAAAGGAAACAUCAUAUCUUUGACUUCUUUUUACAAAAUCUGAGUGGAGGAAAUUAUGAAGUGAGAGGAGUAGACUUUCUACCACUUCUUAUGCAGAGACACCAGGAAGAAGCAGAAAAGGACCAUACGUAGCUAGUUUUCCUUCUUUUAUCUAGUUUCUCUCUAGCUAGGAGUUCUGGGGGAAGUAUUUAAAGUUUUCACUUGUAAUCAUAUUGUGCAAGAGCAUGGCAGGAAUUGGAGAGCUUCACCUUCAAUUGGCUAAGCUUUCUUUUAUCUUUCUUGUACUUGUACUUUAUGAUGUUUGGCAUUAAUAAACUUGUGAGUUUGAUUAUUAAAUCAUUCAUGAGUAGCUAAACUUCUUAAUCUAGGGAGUAGAUGAAACUUAUGGUUAAAUAAUAUGAAUUGAAUGUGAUUUACACUUGUUAUAUCUUGUAUUAACUUGUCUACUUGUGUAACUGUGAUUACUUGUUAUUGAUUGAUCACUAAUAGCAUGUUUAUAGUUGUUAUUGUUCAAUGAGAAUUGGUAGUGGCAAUGGAAAAACAUGAGUAGAGCUUAAGUUGUAUGUUCAUAAAAAUAGAGAUACACUUAAGUGGAUUACUUAGCAUUGCAUGAAAGAAAACAAAGGAGUAUUAGUAUUUCACCAUGAAAAUAGGGAAAACUAAACUAGUUUAGGCCAUUUCAUCAUGAGAAUGAGAUUUGGUAAUUUUGGAAAUGAAUCUCUGGUUAAACAAGAAUAAUAACAGGACGCAAAUCCAUUCAUUUGUGUGUUUAUGCCAUAAGUGGAAUCUACAUCCCUAGAGUCUUUCUUAAGUAAGAAUUCUUUAUUUGCAUUUAGUAUUUGUUAAACUAGAUUUGUAGAUCAGAUUUGUAGAUUAUAGCAAUAAACUUUCUCUGCUCAAAUUUAUUGUAAGUCUAAAUAAUAGAGAAAAAUAAGGGUCUAGUACUUGUUUAAAUUGCUCCUUGUGGGAUCGACCCGAUACAUACCCUACAUUACAGUUUCGGCCUGUAUACUUGCAGCUAACGGGUAUAAAAAUCGGAUUUAAACUUGCAUUGAUAUAAAAAUCCCGUCACCUCCCAUGAUACAGUUUCAUUGUAUUGAGUCCUUAAUUCUUCUCGAACAAGGUCUCGUAAAGAUUUUGGAAGACCAUCAAGGAAUUUUUCUUUCCAAUAGGCCUUGUUGCCAUCUGUCCUGGAGUAUAUCCUAGUUAAGAAUGUAUCUUUGUACCAUCGAAAGUCUGAGAGGCUUUUGUAUUUGAGAUUGUUUAGUAGCUCCGAUGAUUUUUCCCUGAAUAUCCCUGGAUCACCUACAAAUGUUUUUGCAAUAGUGAAUAUUAAUGUUGCCACCGCAUCUGAGAUAGUGUCUUCAUCUCGAAGAAUAGGUUCACCAUUGGUUUCCACUUUAAUUGCAUUGAGAAUGUUGUCUUUGUCUUCCGUGGUAAGAUGUUCAUCCCACCAACCUUUUAGUUGCCCAGUAAAUUCUAUUAUUAGGAUAUGAGUAGCUAAUUGGUCAGUACAACCAUGUGAUGUUCGAUAGGCUAUUGCCACCAUUGUCAUUUGUUGAAGGAUUAUCAAAAUGUUGUAUUCAGAAAUUCCAUCUAUGCUCCAUUCAUAUAUGUUGUUAGCAUUAUAUGAAUUUUGUAAAAUAUUUAAUUUUUCUUCUAGAAGGAUGUCUGGAUAUGUGGCACUGGAAUAGUAUAGUUUUUGUGGAUUUUUUCAGUUGGUAAUCUGGUUUUGUGAAGAAAAAGGUUGAUGUAAUUUGUUUAAGGUUAAAGACUCUUGAGGUUCUCCUUUGGUAAUGGUGCAAGCUGUUUGACUAACACUUGCAGAACCUUGGUUAUUUGACCUUUGUUUGGAUAUUGGGGUAGAAAAUGAUUGUUCUAUUUUGGCUAUUCAUUUUUCUAAUUGGGUUAAGGGUUUGUUUUGAAGUUCUUUCUGAAAUUUGGUUGGUAUUUCAUGAGGUUUGAAAAUUGGGUUUGAUGAAGAAGUGGUUACAGAAGGAAUUUUGGGAAUGGGUUAGGUUAAGAGAUAUUCUCCAAGUGUUUGAAGGUACUUGUUGGUAUAAUUAUUUUGCUCAUAGAUUCCCUGAAUGUCUUUGCCAUUGAUUGCACUUUCAUCCUGGGUACUUUUGAGUUUGAAAGGUUUGGCAUUGAUCUCCGUUGAUUUGUAUGUGAAAGUGAUUGACUUUGGUGGUGGAAGUUGUGCUUGGAUUUCUCCUUCAGCUGUCUGCCACCUUGUUAUCACAUUUGUUGUUUGCGAAAAAGAAUAAUCAAUCCCUUUUCUUUGUGAAUAUACCUCAAACCAAUUGAAGAAUUGAAUGUGUUGUUUUGUUCUUCUAAGAAACCCAUAGAAAUCUUCUUGUAUUUUUUGUCGAUACUGUCCCUUGUACUUGUCAAAGAACCACAUUCUUUUUCAAUAAUUGUUGUCUGCAUAAAAUUCUGUUAUGAUACUUUGUCUAUCCAAAGAAAUCACCCUUAACUCAUCAAGUUGAGAACGACUCUCUGUUAUUGAAGAAUAUGUAGGAGAUCUAGGAAGUCCUUCUUGCUCCACAUCAUCAGAGGAUUCAUCUUGGACCUCUGAAGGAGUAGGUCUGCUAGUUGCAUACCUUGCCUGUGGAAUCUUAGAAGAAAGAUCUAGAUUUUGUAGUCUGGUUGAAAUGGAAGGAGUCAGUGGCCUGUCUGAAACUGAUCUUUUUUCUGUUGAGUAUCUAGGUAUGUCUAUACCAGUUGUUGAAGAAGAUGAUGCCUUGAAACUCAUAGAUCUGUCAAAUUUGAUUUGAACAGCUCCAAAAGCAAAUUGUUGGAUGUUUGAAAUUGUUGUAUUUUGUAUAGGAUCUGCUGGGGCUACUUCAGGAAGAACUCAGCUUUCUGAUAGUGAGAUCUGAUUCCAGGUGAUAGAUCUUGGAACUGUAAUCCGAGAUCUAGCCAAAUCUGUUUGAAAUAAGACUGUUUCUCUUUUUCGUAAUGUUUUUAAAGCCCCUGUUCUAAAAGCUGAAUUCAUAACUUUGUAUUGAAUUCUAUAAAUAAUAGCUACAGGAAGAGUCCCAGUUUUGACUCUAUAGUUAGCAAUUUUUAUGUUUAAUGUUAAAGCAUCUAGAAUAUUUUUGUCUUUUAAAGAGACUGUAAAGUUUGGAAAACAAUCAAAAUAUGUUGGUCCUCCACAAAGGCUAGUUUCUGACAUUUCUAGGAGGGAAUCAUUGAAUUCUAAGAAUAUGUUAUCUCUAAGACAAAGGAGUAGGGAUGUGUCAAAUCCUUCUCUUGUCAGAAGUUUAGCUGCAAUUUGUACUAAUCCAAAAUGAAUACAAUUGUAUUUUUCUUUAUGUUUUUCUAUUGUUCUUUUGGAUAAUAGUUUGAUUUCUUCAUGAUCAGUAUCUAAAGCUAUAGUUUGUUCUACUGUUUUAAUUGUAUAAUCUGAAGUGGAAAACAUCCACUUUCUAUCUCUUUUGUAUAUAUCAGUUUGAGUAUAUUUUGGAAUUUCCCAAUUGUUUAUGUCUUGAUUGACAUAUUGUAUAUGAAUUUCUUCUUUUAGUUUAGUGUUUGAAGAAGAACUAGAAGAGGUAGAAUUGGUUCUAAAAAAGGAAGCCAUAAACAAAGACAACUAAAAAUAAAAUAAGCUUAAAUAAAUGAAUGAACUUUAUAUUCCUCUUCCCUUUGGCACAGAAUCCUUCAGGAUCCAUGGAGAAUAACUAUUUUUCUUAAUCAAAUUAUAAAGGAUAGUGUGAAAAUUUACAAGAAAAGAUUUAAUCUUUUGAAAAAGAUUAACUAUACAUGAUGACCAUAUUUCCAUCAUAAUAAAGAUAAUAAUAAACCUACGAGAAUAGAUCUAAAUCCUCUGAGAAAGAUUAACUAUGCAUGACAACUAUAUUUCCAAACAAAAUCAUAAGAUUGAUAGUUAAAAUCCAUUUUCCCUGGAUCUGAUCUUUUGACACUUCCCCGUCCUGGAGCAUACCACCCCAAGAACCUUAACACCCUUACAGAGCCAAAUCCCCAUGGUCUUACCUGGACCGGAUGCUAGCACUUACUGGUUCCAUGCUCUUUAACCAAAUCCAAAGUCAUGAAAUCAAUACUAUCAAAAUUAUAAAGUGCUUGAAUACAUUAGAUAGUAAUCAUGAAAUUGACCAGUCUCAUCUAAUCAGAUCUAAACUUGUAGAUCUACACUAUCUCUGUAGCAUAAAUAAAGGAAUAUGGUAAUCACGAAGUUAAUAAAUCUCAUUAGAAGGAUAUAAACUUGUGGAUUUACACUAUCAACAUCAUAAUAAGUAAAGAAGGAUAGCCAUCUCCAUUUUCCCCUCUGGCUCUGAUACUAAUAGAUCUAAACUUGUAGAUCUACACUAUCAAUAGCAUAAAUAAAGAAAGAUGGUAAUCACGAAAUUAAUAAAUCUCAUUAGGAAGAUAUAAACUUAUAGAUCUACACUAUCAACAUUAUAAUAAGUAAAGAAAGAUAGCCAUCUCCCCACUUCCCCCUCUGGCUCUAAUACCAAAUGGGACUGGUCAACUUCGUGAUUAUUAUCUAAUGUAUUCAAGUACAUUAUAAUUUUGAUAGUAUUGAUUCAUGACUUUGGAUCUGGUUAAAAGGCAUGGAACCAGUAAAUGCUAGCAUCCGGUCCAGGUAAAACCAUGGGGAUUUGGCUCUGUAGGGGUGUUAAGGUUCUUGGGAUGGUAUGCUCCAGGACGGGGAAGUGUCAAAAGAUCAGAUCCAGGGAAAAUGGAUUUUUACUAUCAACCUUAUGAUUUUGUUUGGAAAUAUAGUCGUCAUACAUAGUUAAUCUUUCUCAAAAGAUUUAGAUCUAUUCUCGUAGGUUUAUUGCUAUCUUUAUUAUGAUGGAAAUAUGGUCAUCAUGUAUAGUUCAUCUUUUUCAAAAAGUUAGAUCUUUUCUUGUAAAUUUUCAGACUAUCCUUUAUAAUCUAAUUAUAAAAAAUGGUUAUCCUCCAUGGAUCUCGAAGGAUUCUGUGCCAAAGGGAAGAGGAUUAUAAGUUGCUUAAAUCAUAAGUUGUUUGAUUAUUUUAUUAUUUUGUUUAUGGCUUCACCAGUUAAAGCAUACUUCAUAUCUUCUGGUUCUUCUUUAAACAACAAACUUUUAAAUGAUCUCCAAACCAGAAUUGCUCGAAUUGAGCAUUCAAUUCUUAUUCAAAGAAAACAAGAAGAUAAAUCUCCUGAAUUCUAGAUUGACAAAGAAAAACUUAUAUCUGAAUUCUAUGCAAACCACAACUAUUUUAAAAGAAAACAAUUUUUUAACAAAUACCAGGGAAAAGCCCGAAAAAAUAUACAAGAAAACUUUUAUGAUUUUUUAGAAAAAACAAAACAGAAUAUUCAUUUCUUUGACUGGUAUGAGUCUCAAACAUCUAAGGUGUCCACACCACAACUCAAAAAUCCAGAUCAAAAUGCUUUAAAACCUGCUUUCACUAAAUCAAAAACUCAGGAUUUUACAUCAGAUCUUGUAGAGCCGGUCCAAACUAAGUUAAAAUCCAUAAAUCUAUCUCAAACAAUCCAUAUACCAGAAACCUCUCAUAAAUCCAUAAACCCAGCAGAUAUAGAUCUACCAGAUUCUCCUAAAGAAUUAUCAAACCUCUUGUCUAUUGAAAUUGCAAAACUUUUAUCCAAUCAACCAAUAGAAAAUUUUGAUCUUGAUAUUAAAAAAGAUAUAGGAAAAUCCUUAGACAUAGAAUAUUUCUCAAUAAAAGUUUUAACUAAAAUUCAAACUAGUUUCAAACUUGUUACUAUUAAAGAUCUUCAAACAGAAAAUACCUCUCUCAAUAGGAAAGUUAAAACAAUUGAGAAAAUAGUCCAAUCAACUACUAAAGAAGAUCCUUCUCAAUCAAAUAUAAUAUUUUACAAAAAAUAUUUUACUCUUAUAAGACUAGUUAUUAGUGACAAUAUAAUUGCAAAAACAGAAGGUUUAUUUGACACAGGAGCUGAUCUCAGUUGUAUUCAAGAAAGUCUUAUUCCAACAAGGUUUUUCGAAAAAACAAAAGAAAGCCUUAGAGGAGCCAAUGGUUCCCAAUUAAACAUUCAGUUUAAACUUUCAAAUAUUCAAGUUCAAUUUUCCUCUGCUUCCAUUAAAGAAACAUUUCUCUUGGCCAAAGACCUAACUAACAAUGUGAUUCUUGGAACAACUUUUGUUACCAAACUUAUUCCUUAUUUGACUACUGAGGAAGGUAUCAUACCCCAAAAAUAUGGGCAAAAUGCUCUCUUACCCUUCUCCAGAAAAACAAUUCAAAAAACAUAAAUUAUCUAUCUCUCAAACAUAGCCAAAUCAAUUUCUUAAAAGAAGAAAUUGCCUAUAAAAGGAUAGAUGAACUGCUCAAGAAACCAGAAAUCCAGCAAAAAAUUCAGAAUUUACAAACAAAAAUCCAAGGGAUAGUUUGUGUAGAAGUUCCACAUGCAUUUUGGGCAAGAAAACAGCAUACUGUCCAUCUUCCUUAUGAACCUGACUUUGAGGAAAAGGAUAUUCCAACAAAAGCCAAACCUAUACAGAUGAAUCAGGAGCUACUCCAACAUUACCAGAAGGAGAUUAAUGACCUCCUAUCCAAACGCAUUAUUAGUCCAAGUCAAUAUCCAUGGAGCUGUCCAGCGUCCUAUGUUAACAAACAAUCAGAGAUUAAAAGAGGAGUUUCUAGGCUUGUAAUGUGAGAACCAGUAAAUUUCUCAAUUUCUAGGCCUUAUUUUAUUUAUUUGCACAUCUUUUCCGCAUUUUCUUUAGUAGAAAAAUUUUCUAAAUAAUUUUUAUGGGUAAAUAUAGUUUUUAGACGAUUUUUCUAGUACCGGUUAGUUUUUAAGAAAUUAAGAGCGUAUACCGGACGUGGGACCCGCUAGCGCGAAAAGUUCGAAAAAAUUCGGCCAGUUAGGUUAAGUUUUGAAUAUCGGGUUUAUUUUAGCAGGUGUUAAGAGAUAACUAGAGGUUACUAAAUGGAUUAGUGUGAGAGGAAGAAAGAGAUAGCCAUGCAUUAAAUGGAGUGACAAGUGUCAUUUGGUGAUUAAUUCUUACAUUUUGACCACUAUUCACCAUUUUACCAAAUAAACCAAAAAUUGACCAAAAAUCUCUUCAUUUCAAGCUUCUCAUAGCCGGCCCUCUCUAGGAAGAAAAGAAAAGAAAAGCUCUCCAAUUUCUUGCUUCAAUCUUGCUCAAUUCAACAAACCAACCGAUUAAUCUUGUAUUUGUUCCAUAAAAAUCCUUAGGUUAGUGAUUGUGAGGUGAUUAGUGAAGUGAUUUGGAAGGAUAAGGUGCUAAGUGAUCUCUUUUCCUUGGUUGAUAAGGUGAGUAGUUCAGGAACCUCUUUUUUCUAUCUAAUGAUGCUUAAUUAGUGGCUUGUGGUAGCCUAAGAGGUGAUUUUGUGGGUUAUAUCAUGAUUUUGUUGAGAUUGGUGAAUUUUUCUAUUUAUUCCAUGAAUUUUUCUGUUUUAUAUGUGUAAUAUGGUGUGGCCAUGGAUGAUGGUUGAAAAUGGUUUAGAAUGAAGCCUUAGUGCGUAAAUUGUGGCUAUUUGCGGAAAAAUUUCUGCUUUGAAAGGAAAUUUCGGAAUUAGGGUUUCAAUUAACCACAUUCUGCCCGGUACUGUUUCCCUUAGUUAGAGGCUGAAUUAGCCUUGGGUUAAAACAUGAAAUUGUAGAGAAUAGUAUUUUAUAGUUGUCUGCAAAAUUUCAGACCAAUCAGAGCAACGUAGCCUAUGAUAACACUGAAAUACGCGUGCUGCCCUGUUUCUGUCCGAACCUGGUGAUCAGCUUUGGUAAUUGGUUAAUUUGAUUGGGAAUACUACUAAUUUGGUUGUUGAUAUCUUCUUAAGAAAUAUAGCCUGGUAUCUUAGCUUUCGGAUGGCUUUGAAAUCACUUGAAUUGGACUUCGGUAGCCUAAAUUAGGGUUAUUUAACCAGAAUGCGGUUCAUUAACCUGUUUAUACGGUUCUGGUUUAGUACAUUGAAUUUUGACUUAGUUGCACUACAAACUGGACUGAGUGGCCUUCUUCAACAUUGUAGCCCUUUCUGUUAGUUUCAAAAUGGUGUAUAUUGUACUCCCAUCCGAUAAUCGUAGCGCCAGUUGUGUCUAAUACGCUAAAUGACGUCAAAACUGUUUUUGGGUUUUAGAGCUAAACUUUCAUUUCCGGACUUUCUCUAGUUUACUCUAGCACUUAUAGUUCUAAUGGAACCUUAUUCUUGGUAGUAUGUGGAAUUGGUUUAUGACUUGUAAUAUAGUCUUAUUGUGCUUGUUUGAACAUUUUAGGGCGUGACGGUGAUUCAAGACGCUCUUUGGGCAGAAGUGUAUGAAAUUUCACUUGCUUGCUUGGUGAGUGUACUACUCACUUGCUUGUUACUAUGUGGAUUUGUUACAUUUGAACUUGAUAUCUUGAAUGCUUAUUUGCACCAUUGAAACUGAUUAAAGUGAGGGUGUACUUGAUCGCCUUCACCCCUUUUGUAUUAUAUAUGACUGUCUACUGUGGUACUUGAAUGGUACAUGAAAUACUGGAUUUGGUGUCGUUUGGACGAGUAUCCAACGGCCAUUACUAUCACUACUGAGUUCAACCCCAUUGGUAGUCGAUUGAAUCGAGCCAACGAGAGAUUGGUCGUGAAAAUUGACGAGCCAUGGGGACUGUUAUAUGGAAUCUUAUAGUAUGAGACUCUCGAUUCCGGUAUACUCGAGUAUUACCAAUUUUAUACUGAAUGGAGUUUGGACCCAGUAGGGGUAUGUUGGGUGGAAGGAAUGGAAGUAAAGUGAAGCCUACGGUUGGUUAUAUUGUAAUAAAGUCCGAUUAAGUAUACAAGCGAGGAAAGGGGCUUUUGAGAGCCGUCCGUAUCCUUUUAUCAAUUCUAUGGAUAUGUGCCCUUGGUUCACUUCCUACUAGAUGAAUUGGAAUGAAAUACUAUAUGCUUAUAUGAACUUCGUUGCUUGAAGUGGUAGUAUAUCACUGGGCGUAAUCUCACUCUAUCCCUUUUGUUUUCCUUACAGGAAUUUGAAUACUUUUGGAAUGGCUUUGAUAGUUGGUUGCCGAGUUGAGCUAGUUGAGAAUACAUUUUGUAUAGCUCCUCAAUGCAUGAAACCUUAGAUGUAUUUUGAUCCGUUCCCUCUUUUGAAUUGUAAGAUUGAACCCGUACAUGUGUACAUGAGUUUGGUAACUUUGGUAUGCUGUUUUGGCUUGUAAAUGCUAAAUUUCAAGGUGUAUAUGUUUGAUUGAUGUAUGGUUGGAUUUCGAACAGAUUCGAAUUUCAAACGGCGAAAGGAAAAAUUUUGGCGGGAAAGAACAGGGUCGAAUCCGACCAAGAAUCCGGCCAGAAACUGGCUUGAUUGGCAGCCGGAUUGACCUAAGAAUUUUUGGAAAUCCGGCUUUGCUCUCUGGCCAGUAUCCGGCCAAGAAUCCGGCCGGAAGACGUGUCAGUUACUAUUCAUGUUCGGCUCCGAUUUUCAUUUUUUUAUUUUUAUGAUUUUGACUUGUUUAAGCACACUUGUAUGUUCCGGAAUGUUUUAGCUCACUUUGAACUAUCUCGUUAGUUCUAGCGAGAGUUGGGCAGGCAGUCCGCUAACCCCUUUGGUUCGCCUUAGAGGAAGGUGGGGCUGUCACAGGUGGUAUCAGAGCCUAGGUUUGAAUUGGUUUGGGCGUGUUAGAAAUGCUCGACUUGAGGAUUAUUUUGAUUGUGUCCCUUAAGGUUAUUUAUGAUUAUUUACUCUUUUGGUAUAGGAUGGACGGGCAUAGUGGGCCUAGUGGUAGCCCUACUGGUGAGCGACCGCAUGGGGUGCUUCCGAUGAUUAAGUACCAGAUCCGGCCAAGAGGGGCUGUCGUGCAUUGGAGUUCGGCGAACCGCCUCCGACGUUAUGAGUGUCGUCACACUUACGCCUACCCUAACAUCUUAGUGUUGGCCGUGGCAGAGGAACAGAAGGAGUUGGCAAAAGAUAACGCUAGGCUCGAGGCCGAGGUAAACCAACUGAGGGCGGCCAACGAGAAACAAGCCAAGCGAAUCAAGGAUUUAGAGUACGAUGUGAUCGAGUGUGAAGAUAGGCUGGACGACCUCUGCGCUCAGUUUAGAGAGGCACGCGAGCGUAUGACUACGCGAGCUCAGAAGGUUAGGGUUCGAGCCGAGUCGAUCCUGAACCUCUGCGACGACUUGGUCGAGGAGGAAAGCAACAGGGCAUCGUGCACAGGGGCCGGGGCAGGAGGUGAACCCACCUCGUCGGGUGGAUCCAUUAGCCCAACUACGGAUUAGGUCGUACUUUUGGGGGGCCUUUUGGAGGUUUUUGACUAUUGUAUAUAGGAUGGAUAGGGAUGGAUAGACCUGGGAAAGAGCGUUAGCUAGCCGUUGUGUACGUUUGGACUAGCAAUGUGUAUAUUACUUUUGGUGAUGCCUUUCCCUUGUGGACUGUUUUGUUGUACCUGACUUGACUGCUUGAUGUUAUGUGCUUUGUUUUACUUGUUUGGAAUGUAUAUAUAUGCUUUGUUAUUAAAGUUUUGGGUUCUUAUUUGCUGGUAUGGUUACUUAUUGCUCUAGUUACGUUUGCCUAAAUUAAUAGAUUUCAUGGAAAGCACACGUAGUGGACGGGGACAUGGGCGUGGGAGUAGGUAACCUACGUCGGACCGGGGUGCUGGGGAAACCUCAUCGGGACCUAAUUCUGAACCGAGGGUUGACCCCAACGUGCAAAUAGUUGACGCUAUGCAGCAAAUGACCAACCUGCUGACACAAGUGGUGCAGCAACAGGGCCAAAGCCCGAACCCUAAUCCUGGAAAUCCUGGCAACCACGUCGGGAGCGAGGACAGAGCUCUCGAAAGAUUCCAAAAGUUUGCUCCACCCAAGUUUAUUGGGGGGUCCGAUCCGGAUAUAGCCGAAAGAUAGCUCGAGAAGAUGGUGGAUAUUUUUGCGGCCCUGCACUACACCGAAGAAAGGCAUGUGACUUUUGCUGUCUUUCAGCUAGAAGGGGUGGCCCAUUCCUGGUGGAAUGUUAUUCGGCAAAAAUGGAAACGGGAACAAAUGCCCAGGAUUUGGAUGAACUUUAUGCGGGAGUUCAACGCGAAAUUCUUCCCUCCUCUAGUCCAGGAACGGAAGGAAGAUGAGUUUAUCCGACUCCGCCAAGGGGCCCAGUCGGUAGCGGAGUACGAGAGUUAGUUGACCCGCCUAUCCAAAUUUGCUCCUGAGCUGAUCAUGACCGAACAACGUGAAAUAAGGCGCUUUAUCCAGGGUCUGAACGUAGAAAUCCAGAAGGAUCUCGUGGUGGCCCAGAUUAAUGCUUUUAGCGAGGCCGUGGAGAAGGCCCAACGGGUAGAGAGCGCUAGGGUUCAAGUACGGAACUUCCAGGCAAAGAAGCGAGACUUACCUGAAAGCAAUUCCGGGCAAGGAGAUAAAGGUACCCCCUCCAAGUUCGGACGGGGAGCUGGAGGUGGUUGAUAGUCGGGUUUCAGCCGAGGGGCUCAGUCCAGGGGUGGCUCAGCCGGGAGAGGCCAGGGCGGGAACUUCCAGAAGGGUUCAGGUUCGGCGUCCUGUGGGCCUUGUGGGUACUGCGGCAAGCCGAAUCACUCCGAGGAUAAUUGCUGGAAGAAGGAGGGCAAAUGUCUGUGCUGCAGAAGUGUAGACCACCGACUUGCCACCUGCCCAGUCCUAAAGCAAGACGAAAAGGGAGCCCAACGAGCGCCAAAGACUAAUGCGGGACCAGUUAAGGGAGACGAGACAAAACCCAAGGUACCAGCUCGAGUGUACUCGUUAGAGUCCCAACAGGCCCCAGAUUCCUCUGAGGUCGUAGAAGGUACGAUCCUUAUCUUCCACCGCUUUGCCAAAGUUUUAAUAGAUCCUAGUGUCACUCAUUCCUUCGUUAACCCUAAUUUCAUGUGUGGCAUUGAUAUAAAACCUGCUAGUUUACCAUACGACCUAGAAGUUAGUACACCUACGGGGAAUCAACGUUUGGUUACUAGUGUGGUUUAUAAGGAUUGUGAAGUGUGGGUAGGAGAGAAGAGAUUGUUAGGAGAUUUGAUAAGUCUGUCCAUCAUGGGGUAUGAUGUGAUUCUGGGCAUGGACUGGCUAGUUAGGUAUAAUGCCCAACUAGACUGUAAAAUGAAGGUGGUAGAGUUCCGCAUUCCGGGGGAGGCGACGCUACGGUUAGAUAUAAGGGGAAGAUUAGCCUCAUCUGUCCUGAUCUCGGACAUUCGGGUUAGGAAACUGUUAAAUCGAGAGGUGCAAGGAUUUUUAGCCUUUCUAAUCAACACCCCCACGGAUAAGUUAAAGGUAGAAGACAUACCCAUAGUAAGGGAAUACCCGAAUGUAUUUCCCGACGAGCUAGUAUCUUUGUCUCCGGAGAGGGAGAUAGAAUUCAAAAUCGACCUGUUACCUGGAACCUCGUCUAUCUCAAAAAUCCCAUACCGAAUGGCCCCUGCGGAGCUCAAGGAGUUAAAAUUGCAAUUACAAGACCUUCUGGAGCGGAGGUUCAUUCAAGAGAGUGGGUCUCUUUGGGGAGCUCCUGUCCUGUUUGUAAAGAAAAAGGACGAUAGUUUGAGAAUGUGUAUUGAUUACCGGGGUCUGAACAACGUUACAGUUAAGAAUAAGUACCCACUGCCCCAUAUUGACGAGUUGUUCGACCAGUUACAAGGAGCGGUGGUCUUCUCGAAAUUGGACCUCCGCCAGGGGUAUUACUAGUUAUUGAUUAGAAAAGAGGAUAUUCCAAAAACCGCUUUCAAUUCGAGAUAUGGGCAUUACGAGUUCGCAGUUAUGCCCUUUGGAUUAACCAAUGCUCCUGCCGCCUUUAUGGACUUAAUGCAUAGGGUUUUUAAACCCUACUUGAAUUGAUUUGUCGUGGUCUUCAUCGACGACAUUUUGGUUUAUUCGAAGACGCAGGAGGAGCACGAACAAUACUUGAGGAUCGUUUUACAAACCCUAAGAAACCAUCAACUGUACGCCAAGUUCAGCAAGUGCGAAUUUUGGCUGGAGAAAAUUUCUUUUCUAGGGCACGUAAUUUCUCAAGAGGGUAUCUCAGUAGACCCGGCGAAAGUAGAGGCCAUGACUAAUUGAAAGAGGUCAGAAAACCCAUCGAGAUUCGUAGCUUUCUAGGUUUAGCGGGAUAUUACCGGCGUUUCAUUAAAGAUUUUUCUAAGUUGGCCGGUUCUUUAACUGACUUGACGAAGAAGCAUGGUCGAUUUGUGUGGAAUGUCAAAUGUGAUGUGAGCUUUCAGGAGUUAAAGAAAAGGUUGACUAUGGCACCAGUUUUAGUCUUGCCUAACGGGGUUGAUGGAUUUGUCGUUUACACUGAUGCGUCACGAGAAGGCUUAGGGUGUGUACUGAUACAGAAUCGAAAUAUGAUAUUUUUUGCCUCUAGGAAGUUAAAAUCCCAUGAGCAAAACUACCCAACCCAUGAUUUGAAGUUAGCCGCGGUUGUUUUCGCUCUGAAAAAAUGGAGGCACUACCUAUAUGGGGUAACGUUCGAGGUGUAUUCCGAUCAUAAGAGGCUCAGGUACCUUUUCUCUCAAAAGGAAUUGAAUAUGAGACAGUGAAGGUGGAUGGAGUUUUUGGAGGAUUACGACUGUACCAUCAACUACCAUCCGGGGAAGGCGAACGUAGUGGCCGAUGCCUUAAGUCGCAAGGCUCAGGUAGCAGGGCUGAUGAUCAAGGAAUGGGAUUUGUUGGAAUCCGUUUGCGAGUGAAAACCCUGCCUUGGGAGUCAUAAGGUGAUUUUCGAUAAUAUUAGGGUAACCUCCACCCUACUGGAGCGGAUUAAAGAAGCUCAAAAGGGGGAUCCAAUGGUGCGAAAAUGGGGAGAGAAGGUGGAAAAAGGGGAAACGACUGAUUUCAACUUUAAUACUGAAGGUAUUUUAAAAUACCGGAACCGAAUAGUGGUGCCGAAAGAUGAAGCGUUGAAAACGGAGAUCUUAGAGGAGACCCAUCGAUCCAAGUAUACGAUCCAUCCGGGUAGUAGUAAGAUGUACCAAGACCUAAAAGGAGCCUAUUGGUAGGAUAAUAUGAAGAAGGAAAUCGUCCUGUAUGUACAGAAAUGUCUCGUUUACCAACAAGUUAAGGCGGAGCACCAAAAACCAUCAGGUUUACUACAACUCCUUGAGAUACCCGAAUGGAAAUAGGAGAACAUCACCAUGAAUUUCGUUUUAGGGUUGCUGCGGACGCAAAGAGGGCACGAUGCCGUUUGGGUGAUCGUUGAUCGAUUAACCAAGUCGACCCAUUUCUUGCCGAUAAACAUGAAGUAUUCCAUGGACAAGUUGGCUCAGAUGUAGCUGGACGAGAUCGUGAGACUACACGGCGUUCCGGUCAGCAUCGUUUCCGAUAGAGAUCCUCGUUUCAUAUCUAGGUUUUGGCAGAAAUUUUAAGAAACUCUAGGGACUAAACUCAACUUGAGCACCACCUAUCACUCUCAGACGGAUGGGCAAUCGGAGUGCACAAUUCAAACUCUUGAGAACAUGUUAAGGACCUACAUUCUGGAUUUUGGAGGUAAUUGGCGUCAACACAUGACCUUAGUGGAGUUUGCGUACAAUUAUAGCUAUCAUUCAUCGAUUCAAAUGGCUCCAUACGAGGCACUAUAUGGGCGAAAGUGCCGGUCACCGAUCUAUUGGGACGAAGUUGGCGAGAGGAAAGCACUGGAUCCAACAACUAUUCUAUGGAUGGAAAAAGCUCGAGAAAAAGUUAAAUUGGUACGACAACGACUCCAAACAGCUCAAAAUCGAUAAAAGAGUUACGCGGAUAAUCGAAGAAAAGAUUUGGAGUUCGAAGUUGGAGACCAUGUGUUUCUUAAAGUUACACCGUUACAGAGUGUCACGGCAGGUAGAGGAAAGAAGCUCCAACCUAGGUUUGUUGGACCUUACAAGAUUCUCCAAAGGGUUGGUAAGGUAGCGUAUCGCCUGGAACUACCGUCCAGUCUUUCUCGAAUUCACGACGUCUUCCACGUCUCGAUGCUUAAGAGGUACUAUCCCGACCCAUCCCAUAUCUUACAGUCAGAGGAAAUCGACAUAGAUGAAUCGCUCGCUUACAAAGAGAAACCUGUUCAAUUGCUUGACCGGAAAGUUAAAAAGUUGAGAAACAAGCAGAUUCCGUUGGUUAAGAUACUGUGGAAAAACCAUGGGGUAGAGAAAGUUACCUGGGAGGUGGAAGAAGAGAUGCAAAAGAAAUAUCCAGAACUAUUCGUGAAUCAAGGUGAGAAAUUUCGAGGACGAAAUUCUUUUAAGGGGGAGAGAGUGUGAGAACCCAUAAAUUUCUCAUUUUCUAGGCUUUAUUUUAUUUAUUUGCACGUCUUUUCCGUAUUUUCUUUAGUAGGAAAAUUUACUAAAUAAUUUUUAUGGGUAAAUAUAAUUUUUAGAUGAUUUUUCUACUACCAGUUAGUUUUUGAGAAAUUAAGAGCGUAUACUGGACGUGGGACCCGCUAGCGCGAAAAGUUCGAAAAAAUUCCGCCAGUUAGGUUAAGUUUUGGAUAUCGGGUUUAUUUUAGCAGGUGAUAAGAGAUAACUAGAGGUUACUAAAUGGAUUAGUGUGAGAGGAACAAAGAGAUAGCCAUGCAUUAAAUGGAGUGACAAGUGUCACUUGGUGAUUAAUUCUUACAUUUUGACCACUAUUCACCAUUUUACCAAAUAAACCAAAAAUCUCUUCAUUUCAAGCUUCUCAUAGCCGGCCCUCUCUAGGAAGAAAAGAAAAGAAAAGCUCUCCAAUUUCUUACUUCAAUCUUGCUCAAUUCAACAAACCAACCGAUUAAUCUUGUAUUUGUUCCAUAAAAACCCUUAAGUUAGUGAUUGUGAGGUGAUUAGUGAAGUGGUUUGGAAGGCUAAGGUGCUAAGUGGUCUCUUUUCCUUGGUUGAUAAGGUGAGUAGUUAAGGAACCUCUCUUUUCUAUCUAAUGAUGCUUAAUUAGUAGCUUGUGGUAGCCUAAGAGGUGAUUUUGUGGGUUAUAUCAUGAUUCUGUUGAGAUUGGUGAAUUUUUCUAUUUAUUCCAUGAAUUUUUCUGUUUUAUAUGUGUAAUAUGGUGUGGCCAUGGAUGAUGGUUGGAAAUGGUUUAGAUAUAUGUCCUUGGUUUACUUCCUACUAGAUGAAUUGGAAUGAAAUACUAUAUACUUAUAUGAACUUCGUUGCUUGAAGUGGUAGUAUAUCACUGGGCGUAAGCUCACUCUAUCCCUUUUGUUUUCCUUAUAGGAAUUUGAAUACUUUUGGAAUGUCUUUGAUAGUUGGUUGCCGAGUUGAGCUAAUUGAGAAUACAUUUUGUAUAGCUCCUCAGUGCAUGAAACCUUAGAUGUAUUUUGAUCUGUUCCCUCUUUUGAAUUGUAAGAUUGAACCCGUACAUGUGUACAUGAGUUUGGUAACUUUGGUAUGCUAUUUUGACAUGUAAAUGCUAAAUUUCAAGGUGUAUAUGUUUGAUUGAUGUAUGGUUGGAUUUCGGACAGAUUCGGAUUUCAAAUGGCGAAAGGAAAAAUUUUGGCGGAAAAGAACAGGGUCGAAUCCGGCCAGAAACUGGCCGGAUUGGCGGCCGGAUUGAUCUGAGAAUUUUUGGAAAUCCGGCUUUGCUCUCUGGCCAGUAUCCGUCCAGGAAUCCGGCCGGAUUCUGACGUGUUAGUUACUAUUCAUGUUCGGCUCCAAUUUUCAUUUUUUUUAUUUUUAUGAUUUGACUUGUUAAAGUACGCUUGUAUGUUCCGGAACGUUUUAGCUCGCUUUGAACUAUCUCGUUAGUCCUGACGAGAGUUGGGCAGGCAGUCCGUUAACCCCUUUGGUUCGCCUUAGGGGAAGGUGGGGCUGUCACAUGUAAUCAAUUACAAAGCCUUAAACAAAGCUCUUCGAUGGAUCAGAUAUCCCAUACCUAACAAGAAGGAUCUACUUCAAAGGCUUUAUUCUGCCAAAAUAUUCUCAAAAUUUGAUAUGAAGUCGGGAUUUUGGCAAAUUCAGAUUCUUGUCUCAGACAGAUACAAAACAGCAUUCACAGUACCAUUUGGGCAUUACGAAUGGAACUUAAUACCAUUUGGACUUAAAAAUGCUCCUUCUGAAUUCCAAAGAAUUAUGAAUGAGAUAUUCAGUCCUUAUUCCUCAUUCAUCAUUGUCUACAUUGAUGAUGUUCUAGUUUUCUCAAAAAAUAUUGAACAACAUUUCAAACACCUAAAUACCUUUCUUCAUAUCACCCAGAAAAAUGACCUUGUUGUCUCUCAAAAGAAAAUUAGCCUCUUUCAAACCAAAAUUAGGUUUCUUGAACACCAUAUUCACCAAGGAACUAUUACCCCUAUAAAUAGAUCAAUUCAGUUUGCUAAUAAAUUUCCUGACCAAAUUUUUGACAAACAACAACUUCAAAGAUUUUUGGGUUGUCUAAACUAUGUAUCAGAUUUCAUACCAAAUAUUAGUAAUUUAGCUAAACCAUUAUAUGACAGAUUAAAAACUACUCCACCCUUAUGGACUGAUAUUCAUACUAAGACAGUUAGAAAAAUCAAAACUGAAUUCAAAGCCAUUCCCUGUCUUGUUCUUCCAGAUCCAACAGCUCAAAAGGUUAUGGAAACGGAUGCUUCAGAUUUAGGAUAUGGUGGUAUUCUUAAACAGACAAAAAAUAAUAAAGAACAAAUAAUUGCUUUUGCUUCUAAAAAUUGGAACAAUUCGCAGCAAAAUUAUUCUACUAUCAAAAAAGAAAUUUUAGCAAUAGUUUUAUGUAUUACAAAAUUCCAAACUGAAUUACUAAAUUAGAAGUUUUUACUUCGGGUUGAUUGUAAAUAAGCUAAAGAUGUUUUACAAAAAGAUGUUAAAAAUCUUGCCUCUAAACAAAUCUUUGCAAGAUGGCAAGCAAUUUUAUCAAUUUUUGAUUUUGACAUUGAAUACAUUAAAGGGUCUUCGAAUUCUGUUCCUGAUUAUCUAACUCGAGAAUUCUUGCAGAGAAGAUAAGAUGCCCAAGAAAAAGAAACAACAGGAGAAAUCCUCAGAUAAACCAGAUCCCUCUUCUCAAACAACCAAACAAGACUCUUCGAGUUCUUCCAGUUCAUCCCAAACAGAAAAGAAGUUAUCUUCUUCAAACUUAACUCCAAACAGGUUUCAAACUCUUUCUUCUCCUCAACCCAUAUCUAUAGCCUCUCUUAAAACAUGGGUUGAUAUAGCCAAAGAAGAAGAUGAAAAACAAUUAUGCUUUGAACACCUCAAACAAUGGGUUGAAUCACAUGGAUACCAACCUGAAUCACCAGGAUACCCUAUUUGGGAUACACCAAAUCAUCUCAAAAUAGUUUUGGCUCAAAAUUUCAAACCAAAACCUCUUGUUAUUCAAGAACAAAAACCCAAAUCACUUACUAUCCAAGAACCCAAAACCCUAGUUAACCUUGAACCAAAACCAAACAAAGUUUCUUGCCCCUAUAUCAAAUCAAGUACCCAUAUUCCUGUGGUUCAAACUGAACUUGAUUGUUGGCAUAAUGAUCCAAACCUCCUGGCCCAAGCUAUUUUGCCAGAUACUUACAAUUUUAUACCUCAAACUCUUACCAAGACACUUGAGUAUUACAAACUUAUUCUCACGGAUUCAAAGUCUCUAAUCCUUAAACCUCACAAUACAGAAAUGAGAGAAAAGAACGGAAAUCCUACUGGAAAAUACAUCAAUACUCAUUCUAGUUCCCAGAUUCUAAAGGUUAUUAAGCCAUUAGAAUGGGGAACAAACCUAAGUAAACCCAAACCUUUUACUACUUCCCUUAAUCCCCCAAGAUAUACAUAUUAGGAUUAUAAGGCAGCCUGGUUCUAUACAUUUACCUUUCAAAAUGAACUAAACCAACAUUCUUAUCUUUUCUAUUUUUUGAAAACAAACAAAUAUGAAUUCCCAACAUGGUUUGUAGCAUGGUGGAAAGCAAUUGGACUUAAUCUGGAAAUUCUUCCUCCAGAUAUCCGACAAAGCUACAACCAUUUGAAAAAAGAUUUGAACCUCCAAACAACUAUAUACCAAUCAACCUGCACUUCUUUUCCAUAUUCUCGGUAGCAUGGGUCUACCAGUGAAAAUAUGAGUAUAUACAGCAAACACAAAUCACUGAUAAACAAAAGUUGUCAAGCAACUCAAAGAUAUACUUCAGCAACUGGAUCAAUCAAAAGAGACUUCAAACAAAGAAGAGGCCUCCAAUUCCGGAACAAAACUUGAGGAAUACGAAGGUCUAGAAAAUGAAGAUGAUUGUUAUGGAAUUUUCUCACAAAUUUCAUAAAAAUCCCAAAGACAAACAAAAUACUUCUACUGUAGCAGUCUGGCAAGUUACGGUGCAAACACGGCAACAAAAGACAAACAAUGCACUGUAGCACUAUGAAACAUUUUGCUAUAAAUACCCCUCAAACCCAACACAUUCCACACACAAUUCCAACACCAUUUCUUCAAGACCACUUCUCUCUCUAGUUUGAAGAACCUCUCCUCCCUCUCUCUACAAACAAGUUCUUAGUUUUUAUAUUUUAGUUUUUAGAUCAAACAAAGGAGCUUGGUACAAGCUUCAUAUCCUUGUAAGUUUUCUUUUAUUUUUGUAAUUCUUAUAUUCAAUCAAAUGGUCGGUUGAGCCGCCUCAUAUCCAUUUAAUUCUUGUUUUUACAUUCUGUCUUUACAUUCUGUUAUACAUGACUGGUUCAACCACCUAUACUAACUAGUGGCAGUCCGACUGCGACCCACUUCUUAAUCUUUAUGCUUUCAAUUCCCUCUGCUUUCCUUUCUUUCCUGGUUUAAGGGGCUAACCCCUCGUCCUGUCUGGUAUCAUUUUAAACAAAAUAUUUAUAUUUAUAUAUAAAUAUAUAAUAUUUAUUGCAAUUGAUAUAAUAUAUAUAAUAUACAUAAUUAAAAUAUACAUAUUAAUAUUAGUAUAAUUUAUAUAUAAAAAAUAAUAUACAUAAUUGAAAUAUACAAAUUGAAAUAUACACAUUAAUAUACAUAUUAUAAAAACCAAAAUGAAAUAAAAAAUAUUAUAUAUAAAUAAAUGUAUAUAUAUAUUAUAAAAUGAAAUUGAAAUCGAAAUCGAAAAAUCUGAUUUCUAUUUUCGAUUUCAAAAACUCCAUUACCGAAUUCGAACCAAAUUCGCAUAAUUCGAAAUAAAAAAUUCUGAAUAAAUAUGUAAAAUUGGAGUUGUUUUUGAUAUAUUGUUUGGAUAUAGUGUUUUUGGAGUUAUUUUUGUUUAUGUAUUACUGUAGCAUUGUAGAUGAAAAAUUUUUUUUCAAAAAAUGCUGAAUCCAAACAGAGCCCAUGUAUUUUUCUUUUUUCUUUUUGUCAGCAGUUAAUCAAGAGGGGAAUCUAAAUAGAAUUUUUCCUAAAUUUUUAAGUAAUUGCAAACAUAGUUACACGAAAAAACCUCGUCAUUACACGGUCACAUAGCCGAGAUUCAAGAAAUAGUGUAAACAUGAGUACACAUCCUGAAUCGUUCGAGGUGUUAAACAAAUUUCAAUCCCAAAGGCACAUGAUUGCUAGCAGCAGCGGUGUACAACAUGAUCCCUUACGUGCUGGUCAAACUGAACCGCAACCACUACCCCUACCCUAUAUUCAAACCUCUUUUACUCCAUAUUUCGUAAAUCCACCUGAGGAAGCUUUCAUACAUCCCACUUAUGGCCUACCACAUACCUAUAUAUCUAAUAUCCACAUCAAUUCUCCUCACACUCAAGCUCCUCAAAAAAUUAUCCACUUGUUGGACCAUUGAGAUCCCUCCCUCUUGAAGGAAAGUUUCGAUAAAUUUAGGGAAUUGUUUUGGCUAAAAUCAAUGAAAAAUCAUUCAUACGUGUGUCUUUUGUUUUAUUAUAUUUUUUGUAAAUAGUUUUCAUUCAAGUGGCUUUUGAAGACACGUUUCGUUUAGCAAGUAACAUGAUAUUAAGUUUGAUUUUUCUUGAAAUGCAAUAAAAUGUACAGUUUUUUAUAUACUGUGUUACUUACACAUUCUUUUCAGAUGGCCCAUAAUAAAAUCUCCCGACCCUUUGGAUAUUACCAUUUCGGAAUUUGAUGGCUGUAAUCUCGAUACCGCAUGAAUGUAAGAAUAGCGAGAAGGUAUCCGAACAUACUUCAAAGAGAUUCGAGGGAGGAACUCAAACGAAUAGGGAUCAAGAUGAAGGAAAUAAAAUUAGUAGUCACUUGAAUAAAAAGCAGAAAAAGGAGGCUGAUGGAAAGUAGUGUCAAGAACAAUAAUCUUUAUUUGACAAGAAGCAACCAAAUGCAAUCAAAAGGAGCGAUCCCGUGCUUACAAUAAAAGGGUCAAAUCGUAACUACUCAAAAAAGAGACAAAAUGUUGAGGUAACUGUUGUCGGUGCAAGAUUGGAAAGGGUUUGUUGUUAAAAAAAAGAGGAAAAGAAAAGAAAAAUGAAGAGUAUUGCCCGGCGGAUCACUUAUGUUUCACAGAUAUGAAUAAACAUGAGUCUUCCUCAAUCAAUUAAUUCAGAUACAUGCAAGAAAUUUCGCAUUAAUGGAAGUUUCCUUUCAGAGUUAAUGUAAGGAACAAAAUAAAAGUCAGGCUCUCUUCUUUUCCCAUCAAACAUUCUAUUUAUAAUUACCCCUUUUGAACCUUCAGAAUGAUCAUUUCGUUUGGCAACCCCUGAGAAUCGCAAACUCCACACUGGGACAAAUUUGAAUUUUAACAGAAGAAAACUAGAAAAGAAAGGAAAAACUUCAAAAGAUGAUGGGAAGGCAGAAGGCCGAAAGAAAGGAAAUGAAAGAAAAAAGAACCUCGGUUAAGUAUAAAUUGGGGCAAAUUUUGAAAAUUUCAAAGGAAUGGCAGAAGGCCGAAAAAAAGGAAAUGAAAGAAAAGAGAUCCUAAGUUAAGAAUAAAUUGGGACAAGUUUUGAGUUAACCCUAAUAUAGGGUUGAUGCAACAAUGUGAUUUCAGAUCAUUUAAAUCACUUUUGAAAUCCGCUUUCAAACCUUAACUUUUCUAAAUACCCCAUCUGACCCCAUUACAAAAGUCAAAAAUCCUGACUUCUGUUCUUUGUAAUAUCUUUGUCAAAAAAUUUGCUAAUUAAUUGACAUAUGAUAUUUAUAUACUGAUGCCAGGAAAUUUUUUAGAUGUAUUUUUGAAUUAAUUAAGUGUGAGGUUGACACUACUCAUCAUGUGAAAACCCGCAAGGACGCUUUUAAAAGAGAAAAGGAGAAAGGAAAAAGAAAAUCAAGAAGGAAAAUAGGGAAAAAAGAGAAAGGAAAAGAAAAACAAAAGGAUGGAGGAUAAUCUUGAUAAAAACCCGAAAUGACGCUAAGGUAGGGUUGCACAAAAAGAGCAAAGGUGAUUCAGUUCAUUGGGAUUCCUUUUCACAUUGUGAUUUUUCUGCUGGCAUUGAAUUUCGGACAGACGAUAUCCAAAGGGUCAAACGGGGCACUUUGUUAGAGGCCAAAGUAUUUUGGUCAUCAACGCAGAUUGCUGAAUUUGUGAUUCAUUUCUUUAAAGUCAUCUUUUUCUUUCAAUACAAGUCGAUGGUUAUUUUUUUGCAUUACUUUGAUUUUUGACAUUUUUGUAUAAAAAAUUUUUGGGUGUUGUAUAGUUUCAUUUGUCUCAUUGGAUUUUAUCAAAUGACAGUUUUCUCAAUUUAUCGAAAGGUGCAUAUAUACAAGUUUUCAUGUUAAGUUAGCAUUGGAAGCUAAGGCAAUUGGGAUGCAAUUUGCGGUACAAUGUCGGGUUUUGCAGCAUCGAGGAAAAACAUCAAAAUACUCAUUUUUAUAUGUUUCUCGAAAGUCGGACAGAUCGAAUGGUGGUAACAUUAUUUUGAUUGUUUCACAUAGCAAAACUGGGAAAAAUUAUUUUUGUAAUAAAGUCAGGGAAUGUCGCCCAACAAUUAAACAUUUAGGAUUCAAACAGAAGAGAAAAUGUGAAUCAAGGCCUUAAGGAGGAGCAGCAAUCGCACAAUGCAAAGCAAAUGAUUGAUUGUACAAAAAUUGAUUUAAAUUGGGGCAAUUUUUGAAAAGAUUUUUCAGGUAAGUAUUCAAGAACUUUUUCAUGCACUAACGUGUUUUUUUUCUUUCACCGUUAGUAUCGAGUUUUACUCACUAACGUGUAUUGUGUUUUUCUUUCGCCGUUAGCAUCGAGUAUAUCUCACUAAUGUGUUUUUUCUUUCACCGUUAGCAUCGAGUUUAUCUCACUAACGUAUUUUUUUCUUUCACCAUUAGCAUCAAGUUUAUCUCACUAAAGUAUUUUUUCUUUUACCGUUAGCAUCGAGUUUAUCUCACUAACGUGUUUUUUUUCUUUCACCGUUAGCAUCGAAUAUAUCUCACUAACGUGUUAGCAUCUGUUAGCAUCGAGUUUUACUCACUAACGUGUGUUGUGUUUUUCUUUCGCCGUUAGCAUCGAGUUUAUCUCACUAACAUAUUUUUUCUUCCACCGUUAGCAUCGAGAAUAUAUCACUAACGUAUUUUUUUCACCUUUACCAUCGAGUUUAUCUCACUAACGUAUUUUUUCUUUCACCGUUAGUAUCGAGUAUAUCUCACUAACGGGUUUUUUUUCUUUCACCGUUAGCAUCGAGUAUAUCUCACUAACGUGUUUUUUCUUUCACCGUUAGCAUCAAAUUUAUCUCACUAACGUGUUUUUUUCUUUCACCGUUAGCAUCGAGUUUAUCUCACUAACGUAUUUUUUCUUUCACCGUUAGCAUCGGGUCCAAUACACUAACGUGGCUUCUAUCACUGUUUCCAUCAGGUCUAACCCACUAACGUGACUUCUAUAUCCAUUAGUAUCGAGUUUAUCUCACUAAUGUUAUUUUUUUCACUGUUAGCAUCGAGUUUAUCUCACUAAUGUAUUUUUUCUUUUACCGUUAGCAUCGAGUUUUUCUCACUAACGCGUGCUGUAUUUUUCUAUCACCGUUAGUAUCGAGUUUUUCUCACUAACAUGUGUUGUGUUUUUCUAUCACUGUUAGCAUUGGGUUCAUCCCACUAACGUGUUUUCUUACCUCGGCAGGUUUGGAUUUUAUUCCACUGACCGUUAUAUCGUUGGGAUCGGAUUUUAUCCCAUCAAUCUCGGCAGGACCGGGUUUUAUCCCGCUAACCGUUUAAAUGAUCCCACCAACCUCGACAGGAUCGGAUUUUAUCCCGCUGACCGUUUAUAUCUCGUUGGAAUCGAGUUUUAUCCCACCAAUCUCGGCAGGGUCGAAUUUUAAUCCGUUGAUCGUUUGUAUCUCAUUGGGAUGGGAUUUUAUCCCACUGACCUUUUCUUUUUAUGUUUUCAGUUCAAGGCAGAAUAACUACAGGUAAGUAUUUGGUGCCUACGCCCUUGCCUCGUAUUUCUUCGAAAUCCAGAUAAAGAGAGGCAAGCUGUAGACAUCAAAAUUUCAUAAUUUUAUUUUAUUCGUUUUUAUUCAUAAUUUUGUUUAUUUUAUUGAUUUUUAUUUUAAUUUAUUUUGUUUUCCUUGAGAAAAAUCAUUUUAGAAAAUCGAAAAAAGAAAAUUGGAAGAAAAAGAAUUAGAAAGAAAGAAAGAAAGGAAAAAUAGAAAUGAAAUGAAAAUCAGUUUUUGUAAAAAAAAAAAACGACUUUUCCACGCUCGUGCGCCAUUUCCUUCAAUAUUGGUACGAUAGCUUCAGUGCUAAAGAAAAAAAUUGCAGCGGCCAUUUGGGGAUUCAAUCCCACUUGUUUUUGUUUUUUUUCUUUUCCCCAACUAUUUGCCACCUUAUGUCCCUAAUCUAUAUCAAGAUCUUUCUGGAAAAAUAAACGUCCAAUGGCUCAAGUAUUUUGAGGAAACCCACCCUUCAUCCUCACCUUUGAGGUGAGGGUUUUGGGGUUCUUGGUUCCUAUAAAAUGGAUUAAAAAACAUAGCUGAGAGAGGAGGACGGAAGUAGGGAGAAAGGAGUGGCGGCUGGAAGGAAAAAACUAAAGAGCUACGGGCUGAGAGGAGGAAGAAAAAGCAGAAAAAAAAAAGAGAGAACGGAGAGAGGAAAACUAAGAGAGUUUCGAGGGGUGGAAAUCUGGAAAAAAAAUAGAAAAACAGAAGGAGAGAGUGAGAGGGAACCAAGGGAAACCAAAAAAGAGGAAGGAAAAGGACUGGGGAAAACUAGAGGAGGGGGUUUCGGCUGAGAGCUUUGGAGGAAAAGGAAGGGAAAGAAAGAAGACUACGGUCUGAGGAACCAAGAAAGCUGGGAGGAGAGCUACGGACAAGAAAAGAGACAAGCGAGGGAGGAGAGAAAAGGACCAAGAGAAAGAAAGAAAGGGGUUGCAGCGGAGAGAUCAGGGAGAGAAACCAACAAAAAAAGAUAGCUACGGGCAAGGAGGAAAAAGGCUGGAAAAUAGCAGAGGAGCUGAUGUUAGGGUGGUUAUUUAAAUUUAACCACUGGUGAAAAUCAUCACCUUUAAACCCAAGAUAUGUAUGGCGAUUAUUAAGAAAUACAUUAACUGUAAAAUAGCAGAAGCGUACCUGAAUUCAUAUUGAUAAACUUGAUACUUGAAUCCCUAAAAAUUCGGGGUGGCCUUCCAGGUCAACAGGUAUUCACCGAUCCUUUGAGAGAAGUCUUUAGUUUCUUUUUGGUAUCUUUCCUGACGAUGGGAUAUCAGGGAAGAGCUAUUUUAUGGUAUUAGGGAAUACGACAACUAGAAUGAUACCUGUGACCUGGUGACCAUAACUCUAUUUAUAGGUAACAUUCUUGUUACCUUUUGGAUCCCUAUUUCAACCCAUCAUUGAAAUAGAAGCCCAUAAGUUUCUACACAUUAAAGGACCCACAUCCUAUUAGAUACAUUAAACCUAAACUAUAUUUGAUCACUUUAAUUGGGUUUAACCUUAAUUGAUAGUUUGCAAUACAUAAUUAUUCACAUAUAAGUCCAAUGUUGGAUUAAGAAUCCAACAAUCUCCCACUUGGACUAUAUGUGUAACCUUAUAAUUAUGUUUUGUAAUUAAUCGUAUGAGCUCAACUUUACUGUCAUUAUCACAAUGUAUCUGUAACCAAUUCGGUCCAUCAAUUACACCAAUAUAGGAUUAAAGCGGCCUUUGUUACAAUUUCGUAACUCAACCUAUCAAUGGUCACAUAUAUCAAUGCAAUUGAAUGACAUGAAUCAUGAUGUGGAUGUGUAGCAUGAAAAUUUCAUGUAAUGUGAUCAAAACAUGCCUAUUUCCAACUGGUCCACCUUAAAUUUUAUGAGAUCAAACUAUACCAAGGUUAGAGUGUAAAUAAAUCCAAACCUUAUUUAUGCAUAAAAUAUUCUUAAAUCCUUAAUAACCAAAACCAUCAUAAGAGCAUUCAAAAUAACAAACUCCCACUAAAACUGUACAUCAUUUAAUAAUAUAACACCCAUACGAGCAGUAUGCUCAUAAAACAUUUUGGGUGGCAAUCCUUUAGUAAGCGGAUCCGCAACCAUGGAGUUUGUUCCGAUAUGCUCUAUCGAUAACUGCCCAUUCUGCACUGUUUCUUUAACAGUCAGGAACUUGAUAUCUAUAUGUUUAGAUUUCGUCGAGUUCCUGUUAUUGUUGGAAUAUAGGACUGCUGACUUAUUAUCACAAAAUAAUUUGAGUGGUAUUUCAAUACUAUCUACCACACGUAAUCCUGUGACGAAAUUUUGCAGCCAAAUUCCUUGAUUGGAUGCCUCAUAACAAGCAAUAAACUCUGCAGCUAUAGUGGAAGAUGCUAUGAGGAACUGUUUAGAACUCUUCCAGAAUAUGGUAUCUCCAACCAACAAGUACACAUAGUCUGACGUUGACUUCAUAGUAUCUUGGCAUCCAGCAUAAUCAAAAUCAGUAUACCCAACGAUCUCUAACUCAUCUAACUUCCGAUACGUGAGCAUGUAGUCUUUUGUUUUCUGUAGAUACCGUAAGACCCGUUUGGUUGCUUUCCAAUGAUCCAAUCCAGAAUUACUCAAAUAUCUACCCAACAUCCCAAUAAUGUACGUAAUAUCCGAACGUGUACAUACUUGAGCAUACAUUAGACUCCCUACUGCUGAGGCAUAAGGAAUCUUUUGCAUCUUUCUUUCCUCAAAAGUAUUCUUAGGACACUGCUCAAGACUAAAUUUGUCUCCUUUAGCCACAGAAGUGUCACCUGGUUUAUAAUUUUGCAUGCCAUAUCUUUUAAGAACCUUUUCGAUAUAAUCCUUUUGUGAUAGUUCUAAAAUACUCCGAGAGCGAUCAUGGUGUAUCUGUAUGCCUAACACAAAAGAUGCAUCACCAAGAUCUUUCAUCUCAAAAUUCUUAGUUAGAAAUUUCUUGGUUUCAUGCAAUAGAUUAAUAUCGUUGCUGGCAAGCAAAAUAUCAUCAACGUACAAUACCAGAAAAAUAUACUUGCUCCCACAGAACUUAUGGUAUAUACAAUCAUCCACUAAAUUCAUCUCAAAACCAAAUGAGAUGAUCACUUGAUGGAAUUUGAAAUACCAUUGUCGAGACGCUUGUUUGAACUCAUAGAUGAAUUUUUUAAGUUUGCAAAUCAUAUUCUUUGGAUCUCCUGAUACAAAGUUUUCUGGUUGCACCAUAUAAAUUGUCUCAUCAAUGUUACCAUUGAAAAAUGCUGUCUUUACAUCCAUAUGAUGUAACUCAAGAUCGAAAUGUGCCACUAAUGCCAUGAUAAUUCUAAAAGAGUCAUUUGAAGAGACUGGAAAGAAGAUUUUUUUAUAGUCGAUACCUUCUUUUUGUGUAAAUCCCUUAGCGACAAGACGAGUUUUGAAUCUUUCCACAUUGUCUUUCGAAUCCCUCUUGAUUUUAAAUAUUCAUUUACAACCAAUGGGUUUCGCACCUUCUGGCAAUGGGACAAGAUCCCAGACAUCAUUGUCCUUCAUGGAUUUAAUUUCCUCUUUCAUGGCAUCAAUUCACUUUUGAGAAUUUGAACUUUCCAUGACUUGACGGAAGUUGAUUGAAUCAUCUUCCAUCAAUCCAAAAUCAUCCUCAUGUUCUUGGAGAAAAAUAAUGUAAUCAUCUGGCACUGCACUUCUCCUUUCUCUAGUGGAUCUUCUUAAUGGCAUUGGUUCUUGAGGAGGAAGAGUUUGUUCUUCUAUAACAGUUUGCUCUUCGACAUUAUUUUGAUUUGUCAUGUCAUGAUCAAAUUCAGGAAUAGGGUCCUGAACAAGAGCAAUGACACCUGUGGGAAUAUUAAUAUAUUUCUCUUUAAAGAAAAUGUCCCGUACUAUAUUUUCUCCCCCAAACUCGACAUCCUCAAAGAACCGGGCAUUUCCUGUCUCAAAAAUUGAUUUAGUUGUAGGAUCAUAAAACUUGUAACUUCUGGAUCUUUCAGAGUAUCCAAUAAAAUAACAACUAAUCGUUCUUGAGUCCAGUUUCUUUUCAUUUGACUUGUAAGGUCUUGCCUCAGUUGGACACCCCUAAACAUGCAGAUGCUUUAAAUUGGCUUUUUCCCUGUCCAAAUCUCAUAAGGGGUUUUGAUAGUUACUUUAGUUGGAAUCCUAUUAAGGAUAUAUGCUGCAGUCUUAAGUGCUUCACCCCAGUGUGACUCUGGUAAGGUAGAAUGACAUAUCAUACUUCUUACCAUGUCUUUAAGCAUUCUAUUUCGUCUUUCAACUAUACCAUUCAUAGUGGGUGAACCCGGCAUAGUGUACUGUGGGACGAUACCGCAUUCCUCUAGGUAUUUAGCAAAUGGUCCUAGACGUUAUUUACCUGAACUGUCAUAUCUGCCAUAGUACUCACCACUACGGUCAGAUCUGACGCUUUUAAUUCUUUUGUUGAGUUGAUUCUCAACUUCAGUUUUAAAACUUUUGAACACGUCCAGUGACUGUGAUUUUUCAGAAAUGAGAUAUAUGUAGCCAUAUCUUGAAAAAUCGUCUAUGAACGUUAUAAAAUAUUGUUGACCAUUUCAAGCAGAUGUACGAAAUGGUCCACAAAUAUCUGUAUGUAUAAGUUCUAAGACGUUUAAGGACCUAUUGGCUUCAAAUCUCCUUUUAUUGGUUUGUUUCCCCUUUAUACAGUUAAUACAAUCAUUAAAAUCUGUAAAAUUCAAGGAGCCGAGAAUUUCAUUUGACACAAGCCUUUCCAUUCUUCGUUUGGAGAUAUGUCCCAAUCUCUUGUGCCAUAAUGCAGCUGAAUUCUCAUUGGCUAAUUUUCUUUUAACUCCUCUAGUACUCAAAUACAGAAAUUCAUUAAAUGAGGCAAUCGUAUCAAUUAAAUAUAGAUUAUCGUAAUGCAUUAAAGAAUCAGAACCAACCAAUUUUGAAUAAUGAAACAAUUCAAAAUUUUCAUUUCCAAAUGAACAAAAAUAAUCAAAUUUGUCCAAAGCAGAAAUAGAAAUUAAAUUCCGUCGAAAAGACGGUACAAUAAAUGUCUCAUUGAGAUCCAAAUAAAAUCCGGUCUUUAACAAUAAUCUAAAAACUCCAAUUACCUCAACUUGAACUGUUUUGCCAUCGCCCAUGUAGAUAUAUCUUUCAUUAUCGUUAGGUUUUCGGCAAUUCAGACAACCCUGCAUAGACACACUGAUGUGAGUUGUUGCACCAGAAUCUAACCACCAUGUGUGUCUAGGUACCGAGGUUAAAUUAAUCUCAAAAUAAACCAAAUUAAGAAGCAUACAUUUUUUAGCACGCCAAGCGUGAUAGUUGGUGCAAUACUUCUUUUGAUGCCCUUCAGCUCCACAGAAGAAACAACUAUUUUUUUCCUGAUCAUUUGAUUUCUUUUGUUGUUUCUUUUGUGGUGCUGUACCUGCAGCUCCUUUUUCCUUCUUUCUUUUAAAUUCCUUAUUUUUAUUAUUAGUGGUUGACACCAGAUGGACACUUUCUGUCUGCUCUUGCUUUAACAUUUUCUCUUUCUCUACACAGUGUGAGAUGAGUUCAUUUAGAGACCAAAUCUCCUUUUGACAGUUGUAACUCACCUUAAACUGGCUAAACUGUGUAGGAAGAGAUAUUAAAAUCAAAUGUACUAGUAACUCUUCAGAGAGUUUUAACUUAAGCGCAUUUAAUUUCGAAACAAGAUGAGACAUCUCCAUGAUAUACUCUCUGAUAUUGGAUUUACCACUAUAUUUCAUUGAAACUAGGCGUGUCAAGAGCGUACUAACUUUAGCCUUUUCGUUCUUGACAAACCUUUUUUCAAUGUCCUGAAGGAACUCUUUAGCGGUUACAGUCGUUUCUGACAUUGUUCCCCUGAAUGAUUCUGGAAUGGCCUUUUUAAUGAUCAUCAGACACAGCCGAUUUGAUCUCUCCCACUUCUUAUUAUUUCUCUUUUCAUCAGAGGUACUCUAGGGGAGAAUCAUCCCUUAACGCAAGGUCGAGAUCCAUUACUCCAAGUACUAUCAAGAGGUUUUCUUUCUAGAACUUGAAGUUUGUGCCAUUCAGCAUAGGAAUGUUAUUGAUGUUGGCAGUAAUAUUUGUAACAUCAUUUGCAAUUGUACAGAAAACAUAAUAUAAUUAAAACAAUGCUCACAUAAAUCAAAAUAAUAAUAAAUUUAAAUAAUGGUAACCCCAUCUCAAGAUAUCGAUAUUCCAUUAAUAUUUUAUUUUUGGACAAAAUAUUAACUUCUAAGUGAUAUCUUGGCGCAGUAAUAAACACUGACAAUAAUCACAUGUCAAAAAAUAAAUUUUUCUUUGGGCCAAUUUAUAAUUCACAUGUAAAAAAUCGAAUAAUUAUCACAUGUUUAUUACCACAAGUGCACAAGUAAUUUCAUUAAAUAUUGACCUUCUUUUGGCCCGAUCAAUAUUCAUAAAAUUACCAGUACCCAACUAAUUAUAUUUUAAAAUAAAUUAAUUUCCAUAAUAGAGGUCACUUUGGUGGCAUAUUAGUUCAAUUAAUUUAUUCCAAAAUAUAUAUAAUCAUACCAAUAUUCAAAUUUAAAAUUAUCCAAAUUAAAUAAAAAUUUUGAUCAAAGUCAACUUUGGUCAACUUUGAUCAAAACGUGGUCAAACAUGAUCAAAUCAAUCAAAUUAAAUCAUGACCUAUUGGACCAAAGGUCCAUAUCCAUAAUUUGACCCAAAAUUAACAUUCAAGCUCAAAAAUUUCCUUGAAAUCCAUAAGUACUUUAUAAAAACUACAAAUUUAAUGGGCCACACAUAUGGAUUUUAUAGGGCUUAAAUAUCAUAUUUAACUUUAUUAGGGUUCACUUAAAGUAAAUAAACCCUAAUUUUCUUAAUAUAAAUAUAGACAUAUUUAUCCAUAAAUAAAGAAACAGGUCAAAGAGCUCAAGUAUUAACCAAAUUAAUAUUAUGGACAAAAGUUAAAACUCAAGAUAUUCCUUGUCAAUUUUAAUUCUUAAAAUCAGGGAAAAGGAUGAAAGACCUCCCGAAGCCAGAAGACAAAUUAAUUUACAUCAUCCAAAACAUGCAGAUCCCACAAAUAUUAUGCUAUCCAACGGAGAGUUUCACAGAAUUGAUUCAUGCAUUCUUUCUUAUCAAUUUUGAUCCUUAAAAAUAGAGAAAUUAAAGGAAACCCCAUGUCUGCCAUGUGAGAAACCAAAACAGAAGCCGAAACAUGAGUUACCACAGAACAUGACUAGCAAAGGAUCUUGACUAAAAUGGACCCACUGAAUUUCAUGUCAUCAAUGCUAUGAGUCAAUGGCAUGAAUAACAUAUAGCAAUCAAUCUGGAUUCAUAUCAUGCCAUUCAUCAUGCGGCCGACAGAUGCAUUUAUAGUCAAAAUUCAAAACAGCCACGAUGCACCCAGAAUUUUCUUGUUUAAUGGCAUAUAUGCAUAAAUAUCAAAACCGAAUUCACCAGACCAAAAAAAAUAUGUAUGUUGAUACAUAAAUUACUAAAUCCAAAUUAUUUCUCAAUAAUCAACCAUAUGGGCUCUGAUGCCACUUGUUAGGGUGGUUAUCUAAAUUUAACCACUGGUGAAAACCAUCACCUUUAAACCCAAGAUCUGUAUGGCGAUUAUUAAGAAAUACAUUAACUGUAAAAUAGCGGAAGCGUACCUGAAUCCAUAUUGAUAAACUUGAUACUUGAAUCCCUAGAGAUUCGGGGUGGCCUUCCAGGUCAACAGGUAUUCACCGAUCCUUUGAGAGAGGCCUUUAGUUUCUCUCUAGUAUCUUUCCUGAUGAUGGGAUAUCAGGGAAGAACUAUUUUGUGGUAUUAGGGAAUACGACAACUAGAAUGAUACCUGUGACUUGAGGACCAUAACCCUAUUUAUAGGUAACAUUCUUGUUACCUUUUGGAGCCCUAUUUCAACCCAUCAUUGAAAUAGGAGCCCAUAAGUUUCUACACAUUAAAGGGCCCACAUCCUAUUAGAUACAUUAAACCCAAACUAUAUUUGAUCACUUUAAUUGGAUUUAACCUUAAUUGACAGUUUGCAAUAUAUAAUUAUUUACAUAUAAGUCCAAUGUUGGAUUAAGGAUCCAACAGCUGAAGUAAGAAAAAGUAAAAGAACCGAGGAAAGGAAGCUUCGGGCAGUGACGGGCGGGGCUGGAGAAAAGAAGGAAGAGAAAAGAAACCGAGAAGAAAGGAUUUCGGGGAAAGCAAAGGCAGUGAAACAGGUAAUCUUCAAUCUUUUUUCUUGUUCGCUUCAAGCUCUAAACAGUACCAGAUCUGUUAAACUAAAACCUGGUUUUGGUUUAUUUGUUGGGUCUCUGCUAAACCAAUAUGCAUCAACAUUGCGUCUGAUUUGGUUGGAACUGAAUGCUCAUGGUUGCUGUUUUCUUGUUGUUUCUCCCUCUUUUCCUCCCGUUCAUUCUUUGACCAAGGAUCUGUUCCCUUUUCUGCGUAGCUUAGUCGAGUUUCUUUUCGGUCAAUAUGCUGGGGUUGGGAUGUGAAUAACGAAUAGUUGAAGGUUGUGAAAAAUAGCGGCUGGAAAGUUGCAGAAAUUUUCAGAUUUCGCAUGCCCUUUUCCUAUGAAUUUUGUGUGUAAACAUAAGAGUUUUUAUGGUCAUAAAGUGGAAAGAAUGCUUGGUGAACUUGUUACUUUGGCCCAAGUUGUUGUUGGUUGAGCCGUUAGUAAUGUUUGGAUAGAAAAGAUUGCAUUCAGAAACCCAGAAAUUGCAGAAACUCUCGGAUACAGGAAGAAGAAAGCUUCCUUGGAAGCUUGCAUGGAAUAUUUCCAAAAAUCACGCUUUAACCCCUUAAUUUUUGUAUAAUAUCGCUAUGGCCUGAAAUUUGAGAAAAAUAAAACCAGUUUUGUCCCUUUGAAUUUUGAAUUGCCUUGGCAUACUUUAAUAUGAUUAUUGGACAGAAUAUGCAUGAGUUUUGGGAUGAAAUUUGAAGGUUUAAUAACUUUUGAUAAAUUUAUAGUUUUGAUUUGGAUUUUUAGCGGAUCAUAGCAAAUGGGUCUUCAUUCAUGUUUUUUGUGAAUUUUAGCAUUUAGUUUUGGUAGAUUUUAUCUUAAGCCAUUAAUUUUAAUCUGCUUUAAUUUAGACCCCUAAUAUUUGUAAUAAUAAUAAUUUGACCCUCAAACUUCUUUAAUUCUUUUAAUUGGGUCCUUGUUUGUCUUAAUUUGUUGAAUCUAGGUUGUUUACCUUCAUUUGAAUGCUUUGAUUGAUCCAAUCUCAUGUUUAUUUUCAUUUCUUAUGAUUAUUUGUUAAUUAAAGUGAUGCCUUGACCUUUUUCUUCGUUUUGGAGGGUAAAUGAAGGAAAAUUUCAUUCCAUUAGGUCACCAAUUCAAGGGAGGUACACUCUACUCUUUAUUUCGAUUUUACUUGAAACUAUGUGCUUCUAUGUGAGUUUAUGUGUGUAAUUGCAUGCUCCUUUUGAAUGUUUUUAUUUCAUUUAUUUAUUUAUUCGCUUUAUUUGUUUUAAUUUUGUAUAUUUAUUUUUAAUUUAAUUUUUAGUUAUUUGAGAGGCAUUUAAAUGCCAAAUUGUAAUAGUUAGAUUAUUAUUUUAUCUUAUUUCAUUUUUCCCCCUUAGAUUGUAGUUAGGGCCCCUAAUGUAAUAGUUAGGUUUCUAUUUGCUUUGUGUGUUUUGCAUGCUUGUGUGUUACGUGUUACUCGCUUUCUUAGGGUCUUGCAUCUAUAUAUCAUGCUUAUGUGCUAUGUGUUUUAUAUGAUAUUAUGUGUUUACUUGUUUUAUUAUGUUUUAUAUGAUUUGUUUAGUUAUAAUAAAAUGCAUGAUGUCACCACACUAGUCCAACGCUAGUUGUGGCCUCUUUCUCGUCACCACACUAGUCCAACGCUAGUGAGGACUCAUAGACAUGGGUUAGUCCAAUGCUAGACCCUUAGAAACCAUCCACACGCUAGAUCAUGUUUGUGUGACGAUCACUACAUUUUCACGCAUAUUUUCUACUUUUUAGGGUUUUUAUCAUUUCGCAUGAUAUUCCCCUAUAUAUAUAUCCCUUAUCCCAUAUUUUCCGUAUAUGUAUUCCUUAUCUCAUACUUUUCCUAUAUGUAUGUGUCCUUUAUCCCCAUGUUUGAGAUAUGACAUUAGACUUGCAUUUCAUUUAAGAAACGUUAGGAGUAGAUUAGUGCAUUUGCUUGAUUCAAUUAGGGAAAUAACCCUUCAAAUAUGGGAUAUGGACGAGUAUGACUCUCUAGCCUUAGCACGCUCGUAUUCCCUCUAUAAAAAGGAAAAAUCUAGUCGUGAAUCUUAGUUCUCCGCACCUGUUAUGAUGCAUUCCUUUAGGUCAUAUAUUUGUAUAUUAUUAUUUUCUUUUCUUUUCUUAGAGUCUCAUAUUUUUGCAUAUUUGUGACAUCUUCAAAGAAUCACUCUUGGGCAUCACAAUUAAUGUGAUUGGCACCAAUUAAGUUUUGAAGAGAUAUUCCAACCCCCCGAUAUCCUUCUAGGUUAGGAUUGCAUUCAUAUAGUGAUAUUCAAAUGUGAUAAAUUUUUAGCUUAUAUUAAGAAAAACUUUGACUAAAUCACGCAACUAACCUUAGUUAGGUUGAGAGGGUGUCUUGGAUUUUAUCCCUGCCUUCCCUUUGUUCAACCGUGACUUCCGAACCUUUUUCUCUGAUUUGCGUAGACUUGGAGUCGUUUAAAAAGGGUUUUCUCUACUUUUUAUCUAAAAUUUAUUUUUAAAUGACUUGGUACACCUUAAUUCAAUACCAAGUGGCGACUCCUAUUUUUCAUUAAAAACCCUUUUUAAACUAUUAUGUUGGGUCUAAAUCAUCGCAUUUUUUAAGUCCCAUUUAGACCCAUUUUCUUUAUUUAUUUUCUAAAAAUCAAAAAUCCAUUUUCACUUAAAAAUUAAUCAAAAAUUCAUUUUUCAUUUAAAAAUAUGGGACACGACAAACCUAUUACGAGGACACCCACCAUAAUUGCCAUCCCUAUGUAUAGUGUUUUUAUCUAGUACUAGGAUAUGGUUCAACAUUUGAUUACCAUGCUGUGUUAGGACAUGCAGUUUGAGAGUGGUUUAUAUUAGAUUUGUUCCACAAUUCAUAUUUCAGUUUGUUGGAUCUACUGAAACGGUAUUUAUCAACAAAAAUAUCUUCUAAAUUAAUGUAGGAUAGUGAGUAAUUAAAUCCAAUUAAUGUGGGAAGAAAGUGUAAGUGAGAGAUCCGGGUUCGAAAUCUCUUGCUUACGUAAAAAAAAAAUCCAACUAAAGCUAUUUGCUGUUUGUUCAGUGUAUUGCUUACCAAGAAGCUUGCCCAAGCCGAACAAGCAUUUUAGCCCAUGUAGUUGACCUGCUCUUUCAGCCCAAUAGGCUCGACCAAUUAGUCCCAAUACGUUAACCCAUGAUACAUUUCCAAUGCCUACAUAACCCCUUUGGCGAAUCAUUUUACCCAUGCAGCUUUUACCAUGGCAAUAAGAGAUUUACUCUGCAUUUUUUUUAUUCGUCUUAGAUUUCAUUAUUUGCGAAACUGCAACUCAUUUGGUUUUACAGACAAAAUUAACUACAGAGAAUGCUGGAGUUGUGUUUCAAAAUUGAGAAAAUAAAGGCGAGGCAGGUAUCUAACAUAUUUGUUCCUUUUGCUUACAUUAACCUGCUUGCAUAUGCUACUUACUAAUUCUAUCUGAUUUUUUUCUGAAGUUUCAUUUUGAAUGGGGCCUUUAUCUGCAAUUCUAUAUAGAGGAGUUUUUGUACCUCGGAUAUUACAAGACAUAUUGGAACCAACCAUGCAGCUGUUGGUUAAAGACGCGAAAUUUUCAAAAGAAACUUUGUACUUUAUAUUGCUUUAUUUAGAAAUUUCUUGUGACAGCACAAAAGGCUCCUUUUGGCAGCAUUUUAAGAUUCAAGAUCCAUCAUUCUUGCAAUCUUGCCUUCUUCACCAAAUGAGGCUGAUAAUAACAUUAACGGAUGGGUCUUAAUAAACUAUGACUCCAUUGGUUAUAUAUAUAUAUAUAUAUAUAUAUACACACACGUACACAAGAUCAUUUCAUUCAAUAAAAUUUGCACUAAUGGCAGAAAAUACAUCAAACAUAUAUGAUACAAAUACAUAAAUCUGAAAUCAAUAGAUACAACAGAUCUAAGAAAUCAAUACAAAUAUAUAUUAACAUUGAUGCUACUAGAUAUCUUCCAUUUAAACGAAUUAUUGUAGUUCAAUACAUCUGUGUAUAUCUUUUGAUAGUCAGAUCAGAAUAAAACUAUUAUAAGUCCAAAGAAAAAUUUAGAUCUUACAAUAAUAAAGAAAUUGCAAAUCUAAAAAACUAGAUUCUAGAUCUAUAAAAUUUCAGAUUUCACAAAAAAAGAUAAAAAACUAAAAAAAAAAACUCUCAUGAGAAAAAAUCCAAAAGAAAAUAAAACUCUCACUAAAACAAUUUAGGAAAGAAGAAAUUCUCACUAUGAGAACUUAGAAGAGAAGUAUAAUUUACUAAUAAAUCGUAAGAGAGAAUUUAUUCAAAACAAGAGAAACUAAAACGAGAGAGUGUGCUUCCUUUCAUGGGUAAAGAUUAGAUCACUCUUCCAUGGAAGAGAUAAAGAGGAUUUUGACCAGAAGAGUUUUAGAGAAAAGAGUUCUAGAGAGUGAGGAAAAGAGCGACUGUAUAAAUCCAUUGGCUUUUGAACAUGUAAUAUAGAAGUCAUUCAUGCUUAUUUAACUUCAAAUUGUCAAUCUCAUUGCCUUAAUCAACUCCAUGCUUUAUGUUUGAAUGCCACUUAAUUGGGAUACAAAAUAAAGGUUACAUUAUGAUGGGCGAUGGCUUUGCAUAGCGCAAGGAUCCCCACCUAGUAUAUCCUGUUGAAUGUGGCGUUGUCCCACAUCGGACAAAGCCAGAGGAAGACGGCUCAUCAGGGCCUAUAAAUAUAUGGCCUUGGUGGUGAAGACAUUUGCACCACUCAAGAGAGUUAUAUGGGCUAUUAGCUUCUUGAGUCAUCUAGCCCAUUCACUUAAAUAUUUUAGGCUCUCUUGUUUUGAGUUUAGGAAUUUUUCCUAAACCUUUUGUAAGUGCCUAUUGGCCUAAGAACCACUUUCCUACGGCUUUUGUAUUUCUUCUUCAUAGUAGAAAUAUUGCUCCUCCCUCGCCCGUGGACGUAGGUCAAUUUGACCGAACCACGUAAAUCUUUUGUGUCUUUUAUUUGCUUUGUUAUCCGUCUUUAUAUGGUCGGUUUUACCGUCUAAUUAUUAUAUGGCUGGUAUCUACCGCCUAUCUAUUAUAUGGUCGGUUAUACCGCCUAUUUUGUGCUAACUUGAGUUUGUCUAUUUCCUGGCCCGGUCCUAACAAACUGGUAUCAGAGCUGGUUGUUAUAUUUUGCAAGACAGGUUCAUCUGGUGGGGUCCGUUUAUCCGUGGAGCCCGCUCACCUUGUGGGGUCCGUUCAUCCCCGUGGGGCCCGCUUAUCUCGUGGGGUCCACUCACCCUGUGGGGCCCGCUCACGAGACUUGCAUAUUUGUUUGGCCAGUUUUUUGAGACAAAUUUCAAGUUACAGAUUUUGUGGCAACAAUGACGAUAACAAAGACGGUUGUCGAGAAAUUCGACAAGAAUGUCAACUUCGGCAUGUGGCAGCUCAAGAUGGAGGCCAUUCUUGUUCAAGACGGAGUUGAUUUGGCAAUUCAAGGAAUUGAGAAAAAGCCAGAAGAUGUGACAGAUGCAAAUUUUGCUGAGAUGGAUAAGAAGACAAGAUCCAGUAUUAUCCUAAAUCUCUCCGAUGAGGUAUUGCGUGAGGUAGCAACGGAGACUUCGGCCAAGGUUAUGUGGGAUAAAUUGAAAGCCUUGUAUAUGAAGAAGACAGUCGAGAAUCGGCUAUAUCUGAAACAGAGUUUGUAUAUGCUUCGGAUGUCUGAAGGUACAUCUAUACUUUCCCAUCUUGAUAAAUUUGAUUCCAUUAUUAUGGAUUUGGAGAAUAUAGAUUCGAAAAUUGAUGAUGAAGAUCAGGACCUAUUACUUUUGUGUUCCCUUCCCCAAUCUUUUAAGCAUUUCCGUGAUACUAUGAUAUAUGGAAAGGAAACAAUUUCGUAUUGGGAAAUUAAAUCUGCAUUAAAAUCUAAAGAGCAGAUAGAUAGGGAUAUUACUGGGGAAACUAGUGGGAGUCAAGCCGAUGGCUUGUUUGUUCGGGGUAGAUCUGAAAGGAGAAACACAGAAAAUAGAAGUAGAUUUAAGUCCAGACAUAAAAAUGUGGUGUGCAACUAUUGUAAAAAGAAGGGCCAUAUUAUCUCUGAUUGCUUUAAAUUGAAAAAUAAAGAAAAGCAAAAGGAGAAAAGGAGUGAAACCACCGAGGCUAGUAUUGCUGUUGAUGAGAAUGAUGGAACUAUUUUCUGUGCAACAGAAAAUAAAUUUAGGUCUAACAAUGAGUGGAUUUUAGAUUCGGGUUGUUCAUAUCAUAUGUGUCCCAAUAGGGACUGGUUUUCAACAUAUGAACCAACUGAAGGUGGAGUUGUCUUAAUGGGCAACAACGCUGUUUGUAAAGUUGUUGGCAAAGGUACAAUCCAGAUUAAAAUGUACGAUGGUAUUGUGAGGACGCUCACAAAUGUUAGACAUGUUCCAGAUUUGAAGAAAAAUCUCAUCUCUUUGGGCACUCUUGAGUCUAUCGGGUGCAGGUAUUCAGGUGGAGAUGGAGUUCUCAAAAUCACUCGAGGAGCUCUUGUUGUUAUGAAGGCACACAGAUCUGGUACUUUGUAUAUUUUGCAGGGAUCUACUGUGACAGGUGCUGCUGCUGUUUCAACAUCAUUUUUGUCAGAUACAGACAUCACCAAACUAUGGCAUAUGCGUUUGGGGCACAUGAGCGAAAAAGGCUUGGGCAUAUUAAGUAAAAGAGGACUUCUUUGUGGACAAAGUACAGGUCCAUUGGAAUUCUGUGAACAUUGUAUUUUUGGGAAGCAGAAAAGAGUCAGCUUCAGUUCACCAGCAAUUCACAAGACAAAAGGUACUCUUGAUUACAUUCAUUCAGAUCUAUGGGGUCCUUCUCGUGCUCCUUCUAAAGGUGGUGCCAGGUACAUGUUGACUUUCAUUGAUGACUAUUCAAGGAAAGUUUGGGUCUAUUUUCUUAAGCAUAAAAAUGAUGUUUUCCUAACUUUCAAGCAAUGGAAAGUUUUGAUUGAGAAACAAGCAGGAAAACAUGUUAAGCGGUUGAGAACAGAUAAUGGCAUGGAAUUUUGUGGAGGUGAAUUUAAUGAAUUUUAUAAAAAUGAAGGAAUUGUUCGGCAUCACACCGUCAGGAUGACGCCUCAACAAAAUGGUGUGGCUGAAUGUAUGAACAGAACGCUUUUGGAGAGAGCAAGAUGUAUGAUCUCAAAUGCAGGGUUGACAAACGACUUUUGGGCAGAGGCGAUCAAUAUGGCCUGUUAUAUUGUCAACCGUUCUCCUUCUGCAUCUCUUGAUUUCAAAACUCCUGAGGAAGUUUGGUCAGGUACUCCUGCUGAUUACUCAAAUUUAAAAGUUUUUGGGUGUCCAGCAUACAUGCACGUGAAUGAUGGAAAAUUGGAGCCUAGGGCUAAAAAGUGCAUUUUUCUUGGGUAUGCUUCUGGGGUGAAAGGAUACAGAUUAUGGUGUCCUGAUCCCAAAUCCCCAAAAUUUGUAAUCAGUAGAGAUGUUACUUUUGAUUAAUUGUCUAUGUUAUCUUCCAAGAAGGAGUCUUCUAGUCCUUGUACUACUGAUAGUACACAGAAGCAGGUGGAGCUUGAUAUUGGCAGUUCUGGUCCUUCUCAAUCCAAAUCUUCUAUUCAGCAAGUGCCAGUAGAUGCACUUGAAUCUACUAUUGAAGAUAGUUCAAAAGAAGAGGAGUAUUCCAUAGCCAGAGAUAGACAAAGGAGAGAUAUUCGACCACCACAAAGAUAUGCAAAUUUAGUUGCAUAUGCUUUAUCUGUUGCAGAAGAAACUGAUGCAGCUGGUGAGCCUUCUACCUAUUCAGAAGCAGUUUCUUGUGAUGAUUCUACAAAGUGGUUGAUUGCGAUGAAUGAAGAAAUUGAAUCUCUUCAUCAGAAUGAAACUUGGGUUCUUAUAAAGCCACCGUCAGCUAAGAAAAUUGUUGGUUGCAAGUGGGUCUUCAAGAAAAAGGAAGGUAUUCCAGGGGUUGAAGAUGCAAGGUAUAAAGCACGAUUAGUUGCAAAGGGCUAUAGUCAGGUACAAGGUGUUGAUUUUAAUGAUAUAUUCUCACCUGUUGUUAAACAUAGCUCUAUUCGUGUUUUGCUUGCUUUAGUUGCCAUGUAUGAUUUGGAGUUAGAGCAGCUUGAUGUUAAGACAGUGUUCUUGCAUGGCGAACUUGAAGAACAAAUUUAUAUGAGACAACCCCAGGGUUUUGAAAUUGAAAGUAAGGAAGACCAUGUUUGCUUGUUGAGGAAAUCCUUAUAUGGAUUGAAGCAGUCUCCAAGACAAUGGUAUAAAAGGUUUGAUUCCUUUAUGUUGGGUCAUGAUUAUUUGAGGAGCAUGUAUGAUAGUUGUGUUUACUUCCGGAAGUUAAAUGAUGGUUCUUUCAUUUACUUAUUGUUAUAUGUUGAUGACAUGCUCAUUGCUGCCAAGAAUUUGUCAGAAAUUCACACUUUGAAACUGCAGUUAAAUAGUGAAUUUGAAAUGAAAGAUUUAGGAGCAGCUAAGAAAAUUCUUGGCAUGAAUAUCAAUCGAGAUCGAGUAGUAGGGAAGUUAUUUUUGACCCAGAAAAAUUACCUUGAGAAAGUCUUGGAGCGUUUUGGCAUGAAAGAUGCUAAACCAGUAUCUACUCCUCUUGCCAGCCAUUUUCGGCUAUCUGCUGCUCAAUCACCAAAAUCAGAUGAAGAGGAAGAUUAUAUGGCACGGGUUCCUUAUUCCAGUACAGUCGGCAGUAUUAUAUAUGCAAUGGUUUGUACUCGUCCAGAUAUUGCACAAGCAGUCAGUGUUGUUAGCAGAUAUAUGUCUUGCCCUGGUAAAACACAUUGGCAGGCUGUGAAGUGGAUUCUCAGAUACUUGCGAGGUACUUCAAAUGCAUGUUUGGAGUUUGGAAGAAAUAAUAAUACUUUGGUUGGUUUUGUAGACUCAGACUACGCUGGAGAUCUUGACAGGAGAAGAUCACUUUCAGGCUAUGUAUUUUGCAUUGGCGGUUGUGCUGUUAGUUGGAAAGCUACUCUACAACCUGUCGUAACUUUGUCUACUACAGAAGCAGAAUAUAUGGCUGUGACCGAGGCAAUCAAAGAAGCCUUGUGGUUGAAGAGUUUAUUUAGCGAGUUAAGUCUAUAUCAAGGUGUUACUGAUAUUCACUGUGAUAGUCAAAGUGCCAUACACUUGACUAAAGAUCAGAUGUAUCAUGAGAGGAUGAAACACAUUGAUGUGAAAUAUCAUUUCAUUCGGGAUAUCAUUGCUGAAGGAAAGGUCCUUAUUCAGAAAAUCAAUACUAAGGACAAUCCAACCGAUAUGUUUACAAAACCUCUUCCACUUUACAAGUUCAAGCAGUGCUUGGAUUUGGUUGGUGUUCAUUGUUCGUGAUUUCGGCCCAUUGGGGCUUAUGUAGCGAAGGUGGAGAAGAUUUGUCGAUGUUGGGACCAUGCCAAGGUGGAGAUUUGUUGAAUGUGGCGUUUGUCCCACAUCGGACAAAGCCAGAGGAAGACGGCUCAUCAGGGCCUAUAAAUAUAUGGCCUUGGUGGUGAAGACAUUUGCACCACUCAAGAGAGUUAUAUGGGCUAUUAGCUUCUUGAGUCAUCUAGCCCAUUCAGUUAAAUAUUUUAGGCUCUCUUGUUUUGAGUUUAGGAAUUUUUCCUAAACCUUUUGUAAGUGCCUAUUGGCCUAGGAACCACUUUCCUACGGCUUUUGUAUUUCUUCUUCAUAGUAGAAAUAUUGCUCCUCCCUCGCCCGUGGACGUAGGUCAAUUUGACCGAACCACGUAAAUCUUUUGUGUCUUUUAUUUGCUUUGUUAUCCGUCUUUAUAUGGUCGGUUUUACCGCCUAAUUAUUAUAUGGCUGGUAUCUACCGCCUAUCUAUUAUAUGGUCGGUUAUACCGCCUACUUUGUGCUAACUUGAGUUUGUCUAUUUCCUGGCCCGGUCCUAACAUAUCCAAACGUUGUAGUGUUUGGAAACAGUAAUUUGGUUUGAUCUAGAAACAGCAGACUCUCAAAUCAAAUAAAAUAGUGAAUCAUGGCGGCUAUAGCAGCAAUUAGAUUCCUAGAAGAGGGGCAUUUAUAUCUCCUGUACGGGUGCCCACAUAAUAGUUUUUGUCUUUGUCAACAUAAUAAGGUAGAAAGAAACUUGGACUACACUACUUACUAUAGGUAUUGUACAUGGUAAUGAUUUAAUCGCAAGUAUGGUCUAAAAUUAUUUUUGUUGCAAGCAUUGGAAUAUCCUUAUUUUCAGAUUUGUAUUAAUGGAUUUGUAGAUUGCCACCAAAGUUUGGAGAAUUGAGAGUUUCUUUUUCAUCCAUAUUUGGAUCAAUGUUCUUAUUAAUUAGUAAACUCUAAUUACCAAAACUAUUGCUUUUAGCACAACAAAAAAGUAUGAAUUUCAUAGCAUUGGAACCACGUUGCGUUCCGAACAUUCGUAGGAGUAGAGCUUCUUUAGCUUGUUAGGCAGUAGUUGGUUGCUGUCUCUCUUUGUACUCUUUUCAGUUCAUAAAUAAAGAUUAAAGUUAAAAAAAAAAAAAAAACCACGUUGACUUUGUUUUUAAUUAUCAUGCUCUGAGCAUUUCUUCAUUUGUUACUGAAAUAUACGUUUAGAUUGUAUUUUCCGUUAUUUUUCAUGGAAAAAUUACUGUAGUGAUUUGGUGUAUGUGAGGAAAAAAGGUAAUAAAAAAAUGUGAUCACGAAAAAUGACGUAAUUUUCUGACAGAAAAUAGCAAUUCAACGUGAUCAGUUUCGAUUUAGUAACUAAAACUAAGUGAAGUAAACGGACCCUUGUUUCAAAGUCAACAAAUGACACAGGGAUAAUUUUUCCAUCCAUGCUCGUAAGAGCAUUCUUUACUUAUUAAACCGAAUCCUAUGACUCCCAACCAAUAUUUUUUGACUCAAAAAAAUAUUCAAAUCAAGCGUCAUUGGUCAAUUGUUGGGCCAACCGUAGUUGGUCCUAAUUAACAUGUGUUAGCAUAUAUGUAGCAAAAAUAUUAAAGUAUAUGAUUUAACUCUGUUGUUUAAAUUAAUUAUAUGACUUUUCAUCCCACUCAAAUAGCUGAUAUUAUUUGAAACUUAACCAAAUUUUUCAUGGAUUAAAAUGGGGACACAUUAAUUGAAAAUUGGGUUUUUCUAACGAUUGUCCUAUGGGUACUCCUUAACACAUCUACAUUCUACUUAACCUACCAUAUAUUUACACACACUAACAAUUACUAUUUUUUCUUACAUAUAUACAUUUUUCCUAAUUAAUCCCCUCUUAUUUAUACGCUUUUCCUAAUUAAUUUUAUAUAUUUAAAGAUUUAACAUCUGAAAUACAUCUUAACGAGUGCCUUAUGGGCAAAUUUAUGAGCAAGGUGCAGAUUUAUGAGAGAGAUUAGGUAUAAAGAUAUUAAAUGUUAAGUACCUUGUCUAGUUAAUGGGAGAAAGUUACCUUAUCCAUUAUUGCAAUUUGGGUUGUCACUCAAUGAGAAAAUUAAUCAAAUUUGAAAUGUAGCAUUCAUUAUGGAGGCCACAUUAAACCAACCCGGUUCUCUUUUUAUUGGACCACUUCAACGGGUCAAUGCUCAAACCGUCCAAUUUCAAUAGGUUACCAGUAACCAAGUUUUUAACCCUUAGGUUGAGGGGCUACGGAACCUAUACAGCCAGCCCAUUUGGUGGGUUUUCCUUAUUCAACCGGGCAAUCCAGGCUGCAGGUUGGCUCCCAACUCAUUUUCUAAUUAAUUUGUCUUUAAUGGGACUGGAUGCGUCUCCAUUACGCCCAAACAAAUUGAAGUUGUAUUUUGUUUGAAAAAAUAAUCGUCUGUAAUAUACUUCAUUACUUGUUUUGGUUAUUCACAUUCACAUAGUUUGCAAAAACUGACCAGAUUUUCAUGCUUUAUCAAUUAUUACCAAUUUUACUAUGAUAUUGACCUGCUUUCCACCAUGCAAACUUUCCUACAAAUUAAAUUAUAAAGCACUUCUAACGAAUUUUAUUUUUGAGUACGUUUUAUCUACUCACUGAAGCACAAAGAAUGGCACAUCAGAUGAUAUAAAAAGAUGAUUAAAUGAAUAUGAAUUAUUAAUUAGCAAUUUGAAAGAAAAGUAAUGAAAGGAGCCCAAAGUACUGGGCUCUUUUUUUUUUCCCCUCGUAUCCCCCCACUCUAGCAAUUAAACAACUAAUAAAACAAAUCCAUGAUACUUCUUAAUUUCCGUUUGGAAUUGCAAUGACUUAUAAAAAAGCACUUCUAACACAAGUGCUUUUAAGAUACGAAAAGCUGGACUCCUUAGGCUAAUUACUCAGAAUAUUGUUAAAAAAAGGAAAACUCAGACGUUUAUGGGUUUGACAAUGAUUCACUGCAAAUCUAUGGCUGCCGGGCUGUGUCUGCCCGGCAGCAAAAAAGGCAAAUCUUUUUUUUUUAAGCUCUGACACCGCUACCGGGCUGACAAGCGAAUAUUUUUUUUUUAUAUAAAGUUGCUGGCUACCGGGCCUGGUCAGCCGGCAGCCGACAGAAUAAACAUUUGCAGCUUUGAAAGGGUUGCAUGUUCUCUCGCUUUACAAGGGAAAGCCCUUUCUUCACGUAGACAAGAAUAAAACAUUAUUAAAACAUUUGCCUACGUGAAAAAAAUUUGCAUGUUCUCUCGCUUCAUUUGUAGCUUUCAAUCAAAGGGAAUAAAAACAUGCAGCCACGUGAGAAAGGGUUUUCCAUUGUAAAUAAAUUUUUCCCUCCCUUUGAUUACCAUUACUAAAACAUUUAUUCAAUUUGCAUCUAAAUUUAUCAAAUAGGGAAUAAAAUCAAAAAAGGCUUUUUUUCACCUUAAUCAUUCACCUUCAUAAAGCUGCGCUUAAAUAAGGGUAAUCUUCUACACGUAAAUCAUAACAUAAUAAUCAAAUAAACUUUUUUUUUUGUUGUCAUCCUACAUAAGAUCAUUUUUUUCUUAAUUUUUUAUUAUAGAAAAUUAUGUCCAUUUUGGUGGACCUUUUCUUGUUUGAUUUAUAAGUCAUUAAUGAUAUAUUUAGUUGUUUCCUUAAUAAUAACUAAUUUUCAAUAUACAUGUAUAUAUUGUAUUUUUGGUAGGAUUUUUUUUGUCUUUGUUAGUUUUGGUACAAUAUGCAUGAAUGGUACUUGUUUCCUUUUUUAGUUAAAAUUAUUUGUUAAAAUUAUUAUGAAAUUUUUGAUGUACAAUAUAAUUUUAUAAAUAUAAAUUUAUUGUGCAAUAUAAAAACAAAAUAGGCAAAAAAAUGAAAAUAAUAAAUAAUGAAAAACAAAUAAUUUAAUUAACAAAUAAUUUUUCAAUAAUUUGAGAACUGCAUCUUAUUGUAAAAUGAAUGAGAUUUUUUGUUUAAAUUUUAGUUUAACUCCUAUAGAAGUAAUUAUUGAUUUAACAAAUCUGUUUUUCAUCUUUUUCUGCUGUUCCAAUUUUGAAACGUAAUUUAAUUAACUUAAAAGACUGUCGGAUUUAGUACGUCAAGUGGCAUAAGUUUUUAAUAAAAAAAAGGGUGAAAUUGUUGUAUUGGAAAAUGGGUGAAAUUUUCAACAUUAUUUAGUGAAUUUUGUACAUGUCAAAAGAAAUAUUGUGGUAGAUUUUAUUUUUUUAAUUGAGUUUCAUAUUUGAAAUGAUUGAGGCGUAUAUAUAAAAGAAAGGGUUGGGAUAUCAAAUAUGAUUAAAAUAAAGGAAUAUGUGCAAUUUUGGUCCCCCAACGUUUGGUCUAUGAGUUAAACUAAUCUGUGAUAUUUUGACCAAAAUAAUUAUGAUAGCAAAUUUUUUAUUUUAGCCAAAUUUAGGACAACUAAUACAAAACUAUAUUUGAAUUUUUUUUUAAAAUAAAUUGAACUGGCUGCCGGGUAGCUUGGUUUAAAAGACAUCUAUUUAUUAUGUCUCAUUAUUUCCAAACUUAGGUUGUUUUUAUUCAAUUAAAUUUGGAAAUGCAAAUAUGAAAAAAAGGAAACAAGUACUAUUCAUGCAUAUUGUACCAAAACUAACAAAGACAAAAAAGAUCCUACCAAAAAUACAAUAUAUACAUGUAUAUUGAAAAUUAGUUAUUAUUAAGGAAACAACUAAAUAUAUCAUUAAUGACUUAUAAAUCAAACAAGAAAAGGUCCACCAAAAUGGACAUAAUUUUCUAUAAUAAAAAAUUAAGAAAAAAAUGAUCUUAUGUAGGAUGACAACAAAAAAAAAAGUUUAUUUGAUUAUUAUGUUAUGAUUUACGUGUAGAAGAUUACCCUUAUUUAAGCGCAGCUUUAUGAAGGAGAAUGAUUAAGGUGAAAAAAAAGCCUUUUUUGAUUUUAUUCCCUAUUUGAUAAAUUUAGAUGCAAAUUGAAUAAAUGUUUUAGUAAUGGUAAUCAAAGGGAGGGGAAAAUUUAUUUACAAUGGAAAACCCUUUCUCACUUGGCUGCAUGUUUUUAUUCCCUUUGAUUGAAAGCUACAAAUGAAGCGAGAGAACAUGCAAAUUUUUUUCACGUAGGCAAAUGUUUUAAUAAUGUUUUAUUCUUGUCUACGCGAAGAAAGGGCUUUCCCUUAUAAAGCAAGAGAACAUGCAACCCUUUCAAAGCUGCAAAUGUUUAUUCUGUCGGCUGCCGGGCAGACCAGGGCCGGUAGCCAGCAACUUUAUUAAAAAAAAAAAAAAAUUCCGUUGCUGGGUUGACACAACCCGGUAGCGGUGUCAGAGCAAAAAGAUUCGCCUUUUUUCAUAGAUUUGCAGUGAAUCCUUGUCAGACUCAUCCUUGUCAGACUCAUAAACGUCUGACUUUUUCUUUUUUCAACGAUAUUCUGAGUAAUUAGCCGACUCCUUAAGCAUCAUGUAGUAAGAGGAUUAGUUAUGAAUCCUACUGAUCAUCCCCAUGGAGGUGAGUAAAGAAGAGCUUCAAUUGAUAGGAAAAAAAACCCAUAAUCCCUUUAGGUUAUCCUGCACUUGGAAGAAGAAGUAGAAAAAGGAAUAAAUUUAGUGAUAAUUUGUUUUUUUGUCAAUGCUAUAAUAAAUAGGAGAAAAAUUAGAGUUUUUUCUUCACCUUAAAAAAAAUGAAUAAGCUAUGACACGUUUACUAAAAAAAUCCUUUUGUGGGCGAACGACGGGCUACAGUAAAUAGGAGAAAAAUUAGAGUUUUAUCUUCACCUUAAAAAAAAUGAGUGAGCUAUGAUACGUUUACUAAAACAAUCCUUUUGUGGGAAAACGACGGAACUGAACCUGCGCACAGUGGAUUGUACCCACUGAAUUCACAAUCCACUGCCUUGAUCCGCUUGGCUACAACCGUCCCUCUACUCUAUUUUUAUUUUUAUUUUAUUUUAUAUUCGAAGUUUGGAAAUUAGUCACCGAACACCUCUUAGAAGUACUUUCAGUGCUUAAGAACACUUUUUCAUGCGCCUUAUACACACGUUCACUGAUGUGCUAGCUCCAGCAAAGCCUUACUUGACAUGUAUAAUUAUAGAUAUACACCGCUUGAUAAAACUGCUAUAUAUAAUUGGACUAUCAAAGCUUAGCCCUACAACCCCUCCCUCCUCCUGAAGCCAUUCUUCAAUAUCACGAAGAAAAAAUGUCAAAAUUAUCUUUCUUGUUAUGUCUCAUUCUUGCAACAAUUUUUGUGGUCGUUGUGAACGGCUCCGAAAGUGAGGUUGGGAUCUAUGAGCUCAAGAAAGGAGAUUUUUCAUUGAAGGUGACAAACUUUGGUGCUCGGAUAAUAUCCCUCGUUCUCCCUGACAAGAACGGUACUUUUCAUUUCCUCCUUUUACAUAUACUACAAUGUUUUCAUGGUAAACUCCUAGCUGAUUCUGCACAUCUUUUUCCAACUUGUUCAGGAAAGCCCACAGAUGUUGUUCUUGGCUAUGAUUCUGUUAAAGAAUAUUUGGUGAGCAAUUUAAAAAUUUUGUACCUUCAAUUAGAUUUUUAUGGAAGUUUUCUCUUCUGAGAGGUUUGGAUGUGGAGAGGAUUAUCUUCUGCUGCACUUGACUUUCCAUCUUUAUCUCGUCAUCUUCAUUUCCCUGCAUUAUGCAGAAUUCAGGAAUGAAUAAUUUCUGUAGGGACCUUUGCUUUUUAUUUUGUUAUUAUUAUUUUUUUGGGUUUUCUCUGUCUUUAGGUCAUCCUUCAGUCUUGAGAAGUCAAAAAUGGAUGGUUUUUUGUUUUUUUUUUUUUGGUAGGGUAUAGAGGUUUAAAGAACUUGGUCACCUCGUGGGGCACAUUUGGCUUUUGAUUUUGUUUUAUUUUAUUUUUUGGUUGCCAAGAUAAAAUUGGUCACCUCGUUGGGCACAUUUGACCUUUUCUUUUGGGGUUGAACAUAUAAAGUUUCCGGACCUACUUAUACUCCCUUUCCCUUAUCAUCGAACCCAACCCUCCUUCUUAGAUUCGAAACCUUUCACUUGUAUUGAAAAACAAAAAAUCAGUAUUCAUAAUGAACAACAAUGGCUCCGAAUAUUUAGCACGAAUUCCCGACUGGAUUUUAUUUUUUAAUCUUUUCUGCUUUCUUAGCUGGAUCUUGCCCUUAAAAGAACACAUGACGAUUGUCAAUUGCAGUCUAUCUCAAGAUUCACUGGGUCUAGCUAGCAGAGACAGACCCCCGAGGGGGAUGGGGGGAGCCGCCCCCACAACUUCUAAAAAUUUGGACCUAUUUAUUUUUAAGUGAUAUUAUUUUGUCCCCAAUUUUAAGAUAAGUUAUUUUUUAUUUCCUUCUUCUUUAUUAAUGUUAGUAAACAAUCAUUAGUAGCUAAUAUAGGCUGUAUAGCUUUUGAACAGCAACUAAUUAAAGAAACAUAAUUUAUUUUUAUGUAAGUCUACAAUAAACUAACUCCUAAUGUAAGAUUGACUUGAAUUAAAAAAAAUUAGAAAACUAAUCCCAAAAUGUAAGGUUGAAUUAGAUUUAAGAGGGAAAAAAAGCAGGAGUAUUGGUUAAAAACAAAAACAAAAUGUACAGCUUUUUAAUGUGUUAUAAGUGCUUAUCAUUGCCAACUCUAUUGAGGCUUUUAAUAAUGAUGUUCUUGCUUAUAUAUUGAUCAGAUGAUAUUGUGAAAGAAAUAAUUCGAAAAAAAAUGAUAUGGGUCUGUCAUCUUGAUAGAGAUGGUUCUUCUUCGUCCGAUAUUUAUUUUAGUAUCUGGAACACGGAUUUUUAUAAGAAUAGAUUAAGAAAUAUUUGAACUAUGAUUCAAUAAUUGAUGUAUUUCAUCAAACGAAGGAAAUAAAACAUAGGCUCGCAUCCCUUGUAUUAUGAGGAAAUGAAAUGAUUAAAAAGUCUAAUUUUGAUACCUUGUCUUUUACAACUAAAAACAUCUUAUUGCUAGUUAGUGUAAAACUUUCAUUUUAAGUUUUUUUUUUAUACUUUAUAUGCUAAAAUAUUGUUUUAUUAUAUGUUUGACUAGCGGUCCCCCAACUUAAAACCCUGGGUCCAUCAUUGCUUGCUAGAUUAUGUUUUUAAAUUUGAAAAUCCUCAUUAUAAUUGUUUUGUUCCCUUUAGCUUUUGUUCUCAGCAUCUCCGCGUUGGGAAUACUUGGGAUACUUGCCUUUCUUUCUUGGGUGUGGGGAAGGGUUGAAUUUUCUUAUAGAGGCAACUCGUGAAUUGCUGCAUAGAGAUGCUUCAUCCAAUGGCCAUUAAUUUUUAGUUAAAUGUUUUGUCUAUUAUGUUGACUUGGAGGUCCUUCUUUUAAUGUUGAAAAGUACUCCCACAUCAUGAAUAGGAAAAAAAUUAAUUAUAGGGUAAAUUACUAGUAAUCUCCUUAUGAUUUUGCAUAUUAUCACGUAACUUCUCAAAUUUACUCGUGUAGUUUUAUGCAAAAUGGUAAACAGCCUCUUUAACAUCUUUAGUUAAAUGCUAGUAUAACCUUUAAUUAAAUACUAAAUAGAAUGAGGAUUUAACCACCAUGUAUGACUAUGUUAAUAUAUGUAAAAUUGCAAGAGGUCAAGUGAAUAUUUAUGCAAAUUUAUAGGAGAGCUAAGUGGACAUUAUAAUUCCAUCACAUGCAUUUUUUGAGCGCGUCUAGGUCAGUGUUAAUCAGAUAUACCUUCGAUUCAUUUUUUACUUUAUAUAAAAUUUUGGACAAUUACGUGAAUAUUUUAAAAUGUUAGCGAGUCAUAUGGCAAGUGAUUUAGUAUUUAUCAUAGUAGCUGCUACUUAUUUGGUUUAAGCCCAUGGCAUUAAGCUAUAUGUCUCAAAGCACCCGUUCGAUGUCGCUUUAGGUAGAACGAUGAUACAGACGUAUAAACUUCUGUCUGGACAUGCAAUCUUACAUCCCAUGUUUCUAUCAUUUUCGCUAACAAAUUGUUCAGUAGGCCAAUUUUCUUCCUUUAGGCCAGUUUCCUAAAAAUCCAUAAAAAUUCCCUGCAGAAUGAUACACAAUACUUUGGAGCUAUUGUUGGCCGGGUUGUUAAUCGGAUUGGUGGUGCUCAGUUCACUCUAAACGGAGUUCAUUAUAAGCUUGAUGCUAAUGAGAAACCAAACAUGCUUCAUGGUAAUUUACUCCCAGCUAUAACACAUGUAAAUUUGAGUCAUCAACUUUAACCACUGACUCUGUCUGUGGAUGCUAUGUAUCGUGAGGGAAACAGGUGGUAGAAAAGGAUUUAGCCUGCUCACUUGGAACGUGGAGAAAUAUGUGAAAGAUAGGGCCAAUCCUUUCAUUGUAUUGUCCUAUUACAGUCCUGAUGGAGAAGAAGGAUUCCCUGGAAAUCUCCUGGUUAGAGUGACCUAUGCUCUACUUGAACCAUACAAACUGAGCGUAAUAAUGGAAGCGGAAGCCCUGAACAAGGCUACUCCUGUGAAUCUAGCACAACACAGUUACUGGAAUCUUGGAGGCCAUAACAGUGGUGAUGUCCUCUCGGAUAAAGUCCAAAUAUUCGGCUUAC
This 87403-nucleotide long non-coding RNA is filed under the name Coffea arabica (coffee). RNAcentral describes it as "long non-coding RNA (CARA_LNC001156)". The record is from RNAcentral. Lineage: Eukaryota; Viridiplantae; Streptophyta; Magnoliopsida; Gentianales; Rubiaceae.